RNAcentral lists this long non-coding RNA (67504 nucleotides) under Lathyrus oleraceus (garden pea). RNAcentral's name for it is "Pisum sativum (pea) long non-coding RNA (PSAT_LNC021935)". The record is from RNAcentral. Lineage: Eukaryota; Viridiplantae; Streptophyta; Magnoliopsida; Fabales; Fabaceae.
UAGAGGUUAUACAAAUAACUACUAAAGUUGAAAAAAAUAAAGAGAGGUCAACUCAAUCUUUAUCAAAUGAAAUUAAAGUUUAUUUUAAAACACAAACAACUAGUUCAUUGAAAUGAUAACUUGUUUAGUACACAAACAAGAUCUUACUUAAUACAUAGAAAUAAGAUCUUACGGAACAUAGAGAUUAAAAACAUAGGAACAACAUGAAAAGUUUUUAAAAUGACAUAGAUAUUGAUUAACAAAGAUAUGAACUAGUUUCGGGUAUUUUUUAACCAUCCAUCAAGGUAAACUUGUUUGGAGUCAGGGGUGGAUUUUGGUCUAAUAUCUUUCAACCAUCCAUCAAGGUAAACUUGGUUGGAAUCAGAGGAGGAUUUUGCUUUUUCAGCUCGAGUGUCUUUCAACCAACCAUCAAGAUAAACUUGUUUGGGAUCAGAGGUGGAUUUUGUUUUCUCUGCUCGAGUAUCUUUCAACCACCCAUCAAGGUAUACUUGGUUGGAGUCAGGGGUAGAUUUUGUUCUCUCGUUUCGAAUAUCUUUCAACCAUCCAUCAAGGUAAACUUGGUUGGAAUCAGAGGAGGAUUUUUCUUUUUCAGCUCGAGUGUCUUUCAACCAACCAUCAAGAUAAACUUGUUUGGGAUCAGAGGUGGAUUUUGUUUUCUCUACUCGGGUAUCUUUCAACCACCCAUCAAGGUAUACUUGGUUGGAGUUAGGGGUAGAUUUUGUUCUCUCGUUUCGAAUAUCUUUCAACCAUCCAUCAAGGUAAACUUGGUUGGAGUCAGAGGAGGAUUUUUCUUUUUCAGCUCGAGUGUCUUUCAACCAACCAUCAAGAUAAACUUGUUUGGGAUCAGAGGUGGAUUUUGUUUUCUCUACUCGGGUAUCUUUCAACCACCCAUCAAGGUAUACUUGGUUGGAGUCAGGGGUAGAUUUUGUUCUCUCGUUUCGAAUAUCUUUCAACCAUCCAUCAAGGUAAACUUGGUUGGAGUCAGAGGAGGAUUUUUCUUUUUCAGCUCGAGUGUCUUUCAACCAACCAUCAAGAUAAACUUGUUUGGGAUCAGAGGUGGAUUUUGUUUUCUCUACUCGGGUAUCUUUCAACCACCCAUCAAGGUAUACUUGGUUGGAGUCAGGGGUAGAUUUUGUUCUCUCGUUUCGAAUAUCUUUCAACCAUCCAUCAAGGUAAACUUGGUUGGAGUCAGACAUGGUUUUUGUUUGCUUUGCUCGAGUAUUUUUCAACCAUCCAUCAAGGUAAACUUGGUUGGAGUCAGAUGUAGAUUUUUCUUUCUCAGCUCGGGGAUCUUUUAACCAUCCAUCAAGAUAAACUUGUUUGGAGUCAGAGGUGGAUUUUGUUUUCUCUGCUCGGGUAUCUUUCAACCAUCCAUCAAGGUAAACUUGAUUGGAGUUAGGCAUGGACUUUUCUUUCUCGACUCUGAUAUUUUUCAACCAUCCAUCAAGAUAAACUUGGUUUGAGUCACUUGCAGGUUUUGUUUUCUCAACUCGGGUAUUUUUCAACCAUCCAUCAAGGUAAACUUGGUUGGAUUCAGAGGUGGAUUUUGCGUUCUCUGCUCUGGUAUCUUUCAACCAUCCAUCAAGGUAAACUUGGUUGGAGUUAGGUGUUGACUUUUCUUUCUCAGCUCUGAUAUCUUUCAACCAUCCAUCAAGAUAAACUUGGUUGGUGUCACCGGUAGAUUUUGCUUUCUCAGCUCGAUUAUCUUUCAACCAUCCAUCAAGGUAAACUUGGUUGGAUUCAGAGGUGUCUUUUGCUUUCUUUGCUCUGGAAUCUUUUAACCAUCCAUCAAGAUAAACUUGAUCAGAGUUCUGGGAGGAUUUGGUUUUCUCUGCUCGUGUAUCUUUCAACCAUCCAUCAAGAUAAACUUGGUUAGAGUUAGCAAUGUGUUUUUGACUCUUCAAUGGAUUUUUGAGCCAACCAUCAAGGUAAGGUUGAUCAACUUGUAUUUCUUGUACAUUCUCUUGCUGAAGUUUGAUAUAUCGGGCAAAGCUUCCUUGUCCAUUCUAUAAUACAAUUGAAUAAAUGGAUAUUAGUGAGUUAUUUUUGGAUGGUAUAUAUGAUUACAAAAACAAAAUAAUGUGUUUUAUAAGACACAUUAUGUUGCACAGGUGAGACACAUUCAUUAUAUAUUUCAGAUGGAUACAAAAUGUGAAAUAAAAAUGAAAGAAAAACAAUUUUUAAAAUUUCAUUGCGGCAUAGAAAACAUUAUUUUAUCAAAUCAAAUAGAACAACUUGAUUGUAAGUGAAUGAUGAAAUCAAAUCAAAUAAAGAUGAGAAAUGAUAGAUUGUGAUAAAUAAAUGAUGAAAAAUAUAAGUGUAAAAGAUACAAGAAUGGAUGCAAAGUUAGUAACUUACGAUCAACAAGAGCAUGAUAAAAGGGAGGAGAAACAAAACAUCUUUGUGUGUCAUUUCUUUAAUGUUAUGAUUUUGUGGGAAAAUUGUUUUAAUGUGAAAAGAUGUAUUGAAAUGGAAGUGAAUUGGGCUAUUUAUAAGUGAAUGAAAAGAAAAACUACAUUAAGGAUAUUAAGGACAUUGCGACUUUGGUUGGCAAGAUUAUUUUUUAAAUAUUUAAUUUAUUUUAUUUUUUAAAUGUUUAGUUUAAUUUAUAAGUUUAUAUGUCUAAGAAAGAUCAAUUUACUUUUUCCAAGAUCUAUUAGGUGUGUUGUUUUGAGUUAUAAAUAAAAAAUUCAAAAAAUUGUUUGUUUGGUAUCAUUUUUUUAAUUAGAAGCUCCUAACUAAAUUCUCCAGGUUUAAAAUAAAUAAAUUUUAGAAAAGCUACUGCAAUUAGUUUUUUAUUUUAAAAUUAAAAAUGAUUCUCUUAAAAACUUUAAUAAAAACCUAUUAAAAUGAUAAAGGUGAUUUUUUAAAUGUUAAACAAACAUUUAUUUUGAUAAGUUAUUUCAAAUAAUUUAAAAUUUCAUAAAUUUAUUUUAAUUUAUAAUUGAAGUGGUAAUUAUCAUAAUCUCGUCUCUUGAGUUCUAAUAUUUGAGCUAAUAGUAUAAAUAUUUUUUAGUUGAAUUAAAAUUUGCAUUAAUGAUAGUUUCAAUUUUACAAUUAAUUAAACUAAUUUAGUAGUUAAUUUUAUUAAGUGUAAUAAAUGCAAUGAAUUAAUUUAACUACAUCCCCUUUAAUUCGAGGUGGGUGUAGGUAUUCCGAGACAUUCAAAUUUGAAGACUAAUAUAUAGAUUAAAAUUAUUUAUUAAUUUAUUUAAUGGUAAUUACAUAUUACAAAAUUUCAUUUUUGGAAAAAAGUUAUUAUUUUAAUAUUUUAUAUUUUUUAAUAGUUAUUAUUUUAUAAAAUUAAUUAUAAUGAGUAUAAUAUUUUAAUUUUAUUAUCAUCAAAUAUACACGACAUCAAAAUUACCAAACAUGAAAUCUAAAUAUAGGGAUCCAAUUAAUUGAAUUGGAAUUUACAUUGUGAAUCAUGAGUCUUCUGCCACCAAUUCCUAGGGACUCACUACCUAGCAAACAAUGAAUACAAAAUAGUAUCACAAGAAACACUAAAAUACUGUGUUGACCCUUGCAUGUUUAAGAUGUUCACAUGUAGCUAGGGUUUGGGUGGUUAUGUAGUUAUGCUUACCUAAUAGUAAGACUGUGUUGACCUUUGCAUGUUUAAGAUGUUCACAUGUAGCUAGGGUUUGCGUGGUUAUGUAGUUAUGCUUAUCUAAUAGUAAGUUAAAAAAUUGUAGUUAUCUAAAAAGUAAUAAAUUAUUAUAUUGACCGGUCUAAAGAGAAGAUAGAUAAGUUANGUAGUUAAUUUUAUUAAGUGUAAUAAAUGCAAUGAAUUAAUUUAACUACAUCCCCUUUAAUUCGAGGUGGGUGUAGGUAUUCAGAGACAUUCAAAUUUGAAGACUAAUAUAUAGAUUAAAAUUAUUUAUGUUCGUCUUAUAUAUUUUUUUUUUAUAUUUUAAUAUAAAUAUUUAUUAAUUUAUUUAAUGGUAAUUAUAUAUUACAAAAUUUCAUUUUUGGAAAAAAGUUAUUAUUUUAAUAUUUUAUAUUUUUUAAUAAUUAUUAUUUUAUAAAAUUAAUUAUAAUGAGUAUAAUAUUUUAAUUUUAUUAUCAUCAAAUAUACACGACAUCAAAAUUACCAAACAUGAAAUCUAAAUAUAGGGAUCCAAUUAAUUGAAUUGGAAUUUACAUUGUGAAUCAUGAGUCUUCUGCCACCAAUUCCUAGGGACUCACUACCUAGCAAACAAUGAAUACAAAAUAGUAUCACAAGAAACACUAAAAUACUGUGUUGACCCUUGCAUGUUUAAGAUGUUCACAUGUAGCUAGGGUUUGGGUGGUUAUGUAGUUAUGCUUACCUAAUAGUAAGACUGUGUUGACCUUUGCAUGUUUAAGAUGUUCACAUGUAGCUAGGGUUUGCGUGGUUAUGUAGUUAUGCUUAUCUAAUAGUAAGUUAAAAAAUUGUAGUUAUCUAAAAAGUAAUAAAUUAUUAUAUUGACCGGUCUAAAGAGAAGAUAGAUAAGUUAUUAUAAUCAAAUAUUAUCUAAAAAACAAUAAAUUAUAAGGAAUAUAGUUUCAUUAUUUUUAUGUUUAUUUAAAAAAUAUAAAUAUUUUUUAAAUUAAUGAUAAAUAAUUGAUUUUAAAUGUGAUGAUGGUUUAUAUCUUUACAUAAGAAACUAAAUGAUAAAAUGUGAAUAUUCAUAUCUAACAUUAAAUAUUUAUCUAAAUAUGUAGGCCAGCCUCAUAUUUAUUGUAAAUUUUUUAACAAAGCUUUUAAUAAUGUAAAUUAGAAUAAUGUAGGCCAGCCUCUCUAUUUAUAUAAAAAAAAUAUUUUUUAAAAUAUUUUUAUAAUAAAAAUAUAAAAUUUGUCACAAAACAAUUUUAUUAUUUUAUUAACUAUAAAAAUAUAGGUUAUAAAUCACAUAUUUCAUUUAUAAUUCAUUAACCAGUAAAAUACGUAAUAUUAAUCAAAUUAUAAUAUUAAAAUAUGAAAUACACAAUUUGCUUAAUUAUUAAUUAUUAUAUUUUAUAUUUUAAUGUCAAAAUUUAUUGAUAUUAUUUAUUUUAUUAAUUGAAUACAGUAAUAAAUAAAAUAUAUGGUUAAUCACCUAUAUUUUUGUGAUUAAUAUAAUAAUAAAAUUAAUUAAUAACAAACUUUAUAUUUAUAUUAUAAAAAUAAUUAUAAAAAUAAAUCAAAAACGAGUUUAAGACAACAUAGGAAAAAGGGAGACUCGGAUAUCGUAUCUCAAAGACGGUUGAAUUAUUAUUAAUAUACUGGAAUCGAAUUGGGGGUUUAUAUUUGAUUCAUAAUAAAUGAUUAUGAAAAGUGAUUAUAAAAUAAGUUGAUUUAUUGAUUCGGUUCCUACCUACCAUUGAUUAUUAUAGCGCGAAUGAAAGUGUAAGAAUUAUGUUUCUUAUUUGCUGAAUUAAGCAAUCAGUUAAGAUUAAAGCGAAUUAACGGAUUAAGCAUACGUUAACACGCAAUCAAAAUUAGGGAACAAUAAAUAUUCAAAUCAAACAAAAUUACUAAGUUUGAAAUUGUACCUCAUUCAGGUCUUGGUUCAAGCAUCCCUAUGUGCAUCACAUUUAACUUUGCAUAGGCCAUGAACUCAAGUCUUUUGGUAUGGAAAAAUGCAUAGAUCCAUAUGCCCGAUUCACUUCAUUCAUAUGAUGCAGAUGAUCAAGGAUGAUUGAUCCAUUUAAGACUUAGUUCCAUUGGUUCAUUCUUUGUUGCUUAAGAAAUCUCAGGGUUUUACUAAGAAGAAAGAGGUCGAGACCAGUGUCGUGAUAGUAAAUAUCUACCCUCAAGUUCAAGCACCUAUGACUCAUGUGUCAUACUACCCUUAUCUGUACAUUGUCGCUGCUCAAUAUCAGCAACCUGCAUACCAACCGCAAUAUCAACAGCCUCCAUGGGCUCCAAUUUCUCAGAAUCAACAAAAUAGCAGAAACCAGAGUCUAGGUCAGGGCAGACGUUAUGAUAGAAAACGUCCUCAGCCUGACCAUAUCCCUGUAUCAUACACUCAGUUGUUGUCGUAUCUUGUCCAGUAAGGAGCAAUUGCGCCAAAAGAGAUUCCGCCUGCAACUCCUCCCUAAAAUCACAAGCAUAAUCCUAAUGUGUCUUGUGCAUUUCAUGUCGGAUACAUAGGGCAUUCUACAGAGGAUUGUUUGGUCCUCAAGACCAUAGUACAAGAGUUAAUUGAUCAUAAGGUUUUGUAAUUCUCUGAGGCAGGACCCAAUGUCAUAACCAACCUAUUGCCAGACCACUGUGGACAGAUAGUGAAUGCAGUUUAUGGCGAAGAUUCCUCAGAUUCAGUUGAUUCUUCAGAGAAGUACUGAUGCUAGCAAUAUCAUAUUGAUUCAAUCAUGUAUCAUUUGUAAUCUUUUCUUGUUUGUUAAUUGUUGUUCAUUUGUAAAACUUGUCUGGUUUUUCAGAUGAUAAUAAUAAUGAAAUAAGCGUGCAUGUUUUGCUUAAAUCCAUUCGUGUUCACUCAUAUUUUAUUUUAUCAGUAUCAAAUUGUUUGUCGAACAAAAUCAAAAGAGAAUGAUGAAAUUAAAAAUAUGCAAGAUCGCUGUUUGUAUGCUUUUGAAUAAGAUCAUGUUGAUGAUGCAAGGCAUUGUUCAAUCCCUAAACACCGGAGAUAUAAGGAAGAUAAUCCCUAGUCAACCCAUUUGGAUGUUGUAGUAGGAGUUUCUUUCUUUAACACAUAAAAUCCUCAUGCUUAACUAGGGGCAGGGUAUUCUUCAUUUAGUUUAGACUUGCAUUCAAAUUUCAGAAGGAGAAUAUCUCAUCCAGUGAUCAAUCAUAUCAUAUCCCUCUCAAGAGGAUGGAAUCACAAAUCCAGGAUGGUUAUCCCUUACCAUUCAAAAGGAGUGAGAUAGUCACGACCCAUGCAACAAAUCAAGAAAGUCGUGUCACACGGUUUUCUCUAGUACAAAAAGAAAAGAUGAAAAAAUUAAAAGUCCGCUAAGUCAAAAACUUGAAAACAAGAUUGACUUAUAUGUGUGUGUUUGGGGUGAGUCUGGAGAUGCACCUUCGAACUUCGAAAUGUGUGAGCUUUUUUGUAUUUUUCAUCUCAUGCCCUAGUAAUAUAUAUGGUGCAUUAAAAAAUAUCCAUAAAUUAAGGGAUUUGGUUAACACACUCUUAGGAUUGUUUUUCGACCCUUGUGAAAAAUCAAAACUACCUUUAGAAUUCAGAAAUAAAUCUUUGGACGCACCUCAAACACACACACAAUCAAUUCAUUUUUGAGUCAUGAAGUUAAUUAGGAAAUGCAUCUCCUUAAAUAUUAACGGGGGUGUAUUUUCCAAACCUAUUGAACCACACAGAAUUGCAUAAACCAAACAGAUGCAGAAAUAAAGAUAAAUCACAUUGAUAACAUGAAAAAUGAAAUAUUACAUAGAUAAUCGUUAACAUAAAUCGAACUUUGCAUUUGAACAUCAAGAUGGACGUUUCAACAUAUUUAUAAUAUCUUUUAUCGAUCUCGCAAUCAUCGCAUCCAACUUGAUCAAACAUUUUAUUUCGUAACGGUUAAAUGUAUUUCACAUAACUCUUAAAUCCGCAUCCGUCUUCAGCUUAAAGUUGUUGAACUGAAUCUACCAUUCAUUAUCAACCGAGAGUGAACCUUACUUGAGUUUCACAAUUCUUCAAUGAACUUAAAUGCAAUUGAGGACUCCGCGUAGUUGAGUCAUAUUUCAUGGAGACUCAUAAUGCGUCCAAAAAUGCAUUUCCAAAAUUUUAGUGGCAUUUUUAAAUUUUUAUAGGAUGGUUUUCCAGCACUUAUGUAGAGAUAAACAAUUUCCUUAUUAAAGGUCUCUGAGAGGAAUUGAAAUAAAUAUAUUUAAAAAAUUAGUAUUAUACUUAUUUAAGGAAUAAAGUUUUCUAACCAAAAAUUUUUCCCUAAUUUUUUUGUGCCUAAUUUUUUUGCUAACAAAAUAGAGACCUGAUUAUAUUUCACUAAUUUUCAUUCAUCUCUCAAUUAAUAUCUCUCAUAACCCUCAUUAACUCUCAAUUAAUGUAAUUCAUAUCAAUUAAUUGUUUUUUGAAAAUUUUGUAUCCGGCUUCGGACCAACUAGUUUAGUGAAUUGCUAAUUUCAUCUUUAAGUGUUGGAAAAAUACCUUAUAAAAAUUUGAAAAUACUCUUCUGAUUCCAAAAAUGCAUCUUCGGACGCAACUUGCACCUCACCAAAACACGCUUCAACUUGUUGAUGUUUUUUAUGUAAUUCAAGUGGUGUAACUGGUUACCUCAUGUGGUGUAAACGGUUACCACUAAAGUUGAUUUAAUUCAAUAUCAGAUGUAACCGAUUAUCCACUUUUGUGUAACGAUUACAAGCUUAAUAUUUUGAUUUUUUCUGAUAUUUUACUUGGUCAAUUCAGUUCCCAAUUGUGUUGUAUCUCUUGUAUAAGUGUUUAGAAUGUACACUCAUCUAAGGUUAAUGCAAUAAUAAUCUCUCAUCCUCAAUUCUCCUCUUUCACACUCCACAUCCAAAGUAUCUCCACCAUUAUUCACCAAACUUGUGGUGUCCUGUUCCAACAUUUGACAUCAAGAGUCUGGUUCAGAUCCACAAACACUUAGUGUGCAACAUGAAUUAUGUUUCCAAUGAAAAAAUCCCUCCAAACCUACCUAUCCUUGAUGCGAAGAAUUAUGAUAAAUGGUACAAGGAAAUGAAGAUGUUGUUUGGCUACCAAGAUGUUCUUACAGUAACUCUUAAGAGAAAAUAGUUGUCCCUGACCUACUUUGAGUCUCCGUAGGGAAAUUGGACUGGCAAAGAGGGUAGAAGGAGGAAACUACUCAAGUGAGCUUGAAGCAACAAAGGCAGUGAGUUUAGUUCCCACGCGGGGAAGAACGUUUAUAACAAGAGCCAGGAAGAUAAAUUAUUUUAUAAUACCUUCUCAAAAGUAAAAUGAGCUAUGAGAAAGAGCAAGAAUCUCAAGCGAUUGGCUGAACUUAACCUAGCUCGAGCUACAUGGCGGUUGAUCAAGGGAUACCGGAAAGAGGCAAACAACAGAACCUCCGGGUUUGAAGCUUUUCAUGUCGGGGCGAGGUCAAUCAAGGGUUUUGGGUCAGUGAAAGCUCGAGUGCCCCCUUCAAAAGUAAGGUGUCGGGAAUGCAACCAGUGAGGUGACCCGUUCCGUUAGGGCGGAUGAAAGAAGUUAUCCUGAAGCAGCGUCAAAGGCCUCUGUAGGCCCUUCAACAGGAUUUUUUGUCGUGUAGCAUUCUGUUUUGGCUACUCACGAAACUCUUUAUCCUUAAUAGGAAGAACUCCCUUUAGAGGAAGGAUACAAAGACCAAGCCUGUCUUUCUCUCUUAAAAAGGGCAUAUGGGGCAGGGCAGAAAGACUAUUUUAGGGGACUAAUCUGCUAAUGAAUGAAGGAAGGAGAAGGCCUUAAUUGUCUAUCCAAAGGUCCGCCUUGGGUGGAUUUAGGCGAAUCAAGUGGGUGGGAAUGAUCCGAGCCCCCUAUGUAAAUUUCAGUAAGGUAACUAAGGUUUACAAUAAUUCAUUUCAGUAGUGCGUUACCUUGCAGCUCUAUCUAUCGGGUAGUCAGUCUCUUGGUCAAAAGCCGGUACCUAAUUCCCCUGCUGGUGGGCCGAUCCUCGUCUAGCGGUGGGAACCGGCUGGUAUGGAUCAAUUGCUUGCCCUGUCUCUCUUCUGUUCAACCAUCGAGAAUCCGCAGUUAUCUUUGCUCAUUGGGUGGGCGAAGGAAUCCUUUCUAUUGAAUAAGGGCUUUGAGAAGCAGGCCAUUCCGUUCCAGUUAGCACCGUAUCCCGCUUUUCCGAUAGCAAAGGGCCUUCUAAUUAGCGUGCUUUGCUUAACCCGGCAAGAUCCGAGAUCAGACCUAGUCCUGCUGACCCGCUACCCUUGAAAACAUACUUUUUGCCACCUUACGACUGGUGUGAAGGAACUUAUUGCACAUAUUUAACAUGGGGAAGGAAAGAGGAGGGAAUAAAGCAUAUUUUAGGCAUCGANUUAAGAAAUGUCCAUGAAUUAAGGGAUUUGGUUAACGCACUCUUAGGGUUGUUUUUCGACCCUCGUGAAAAAUCAAAACUACCUUUAGAAUUCAGAAAUAAAUCUUUGGACGCACCUCAAACACACAUAAUCUGUUCAUUUUGUAGUCAUGAAUUUAAUUCGGAAAUGCAUCUCCUUAAAUAUUUAUGGAGGUGUAUUUUCAGAACCUACUUAACCACAAAGAAUUUCAUAAACCAAACAGAUGCAGAAACAAAGAUAAAUCACAUUGAUAACAUUGAAAAAUGAAAUAUUACAUAGAUAAUCGUUAACAUAAAUCGAACAUUAUAUUUGAACAUUAAGAUGGACGUUUCAACAUCUUUAUAAUAUCUUUUAUCGAUCUCGCAAUCAUCGCAUCCAACUUGAUCAAAUAUUUUGUUUCGUAACGGUUAAAUGUAUUUCAGAUAACUCUUAAAUCUGCAUUCGUCUUCAGCUUAAAAUUGUUGAAAUGAAUCUUCGAUUCAUUAUCAAUCGAGAGUGAACCGUACUUGAGUUUUGUAAGAACAAAAAUAGUUCUACAAUAGAUUCCAUGAUUUUGAUGAUAACAAAGGAUGAAACCAAAAAUGGCACCCUAACGAAAAGUUUCUAAGUGUGCAGGGUUCUAAAGAAAGAAGAAAUAAAUCUGAUGAUGUCAUCAGAUGCAAAACAAGAUCAGAUGUAAAAUCUCAAGUAUCAGAAGCAUCUAAAGAGGAAUCUCAUUCAAGAAGCUCUGACUCUGGACAAAACUACAAAGUAUCAGAAGCAUCUGAACAUGAAGUAAAGUCUAGAAGCUCUGACUCUGAACAAAUGCCUUCUGUAAAUUCUGAAGUUAUCAGCGCCAUCUGAACUUUCAAGAGAUAACAUCAGAAGCCAGUUUCUCCAGAUACACAAAGACUCUAAUCAGAAUUGUUAAUCAUGAUGAAGUAACGUUUAAGCCAAGUUAAAGUUCUGCAAAUGGAUUUCCUCAAUUAGAAAGAGACGUUAAUCUCCACUUCCAAGAGAGAAGAUACUAAUUGUGGUAAGUAGUCACUUCUAAGAGAAAAAGUCUACUGCAGAAGCUAUUAAUGGAAUGGCGUAACUACAUCUCAAUAUCCAACAGAUUCAACGCUACUUCAACUCUACUUCAACUCCUAUAAAUAGAGAAGAAAUCUCAUUCAGUAAGAAAGAAAUCACUAGCCAAAACUAUACUGAAAUUAUAUCACGCUCAAGAAAAACAUCUUUGUUCUUCAAAGAUUUUCACUAAGCUUUUGCUUAUCAAGUGAAAAAUUUGUUCUUAAGUUUGUAAUAUUUGCUUUCUUAGAAGCACUCUAGAUUACACAUCUUGUAUCUAAUUUUUAUUUGAUUUCCUCAAGUGACUCUUUGUAGUCUGUAGACUUGAGAGGACUAAGAGAUUUUCUUCUCUCUUAGGGGUUGUUUGUAAUCUUUCAAGAUUAGUGGAUUAAGUCCUUGUUGAAGGCGAAAUCACCUUGGCCGGGUGGACUGGAGUAGCUUUGUGUUAUAAGCGAACCAGUAUAAAAUCAUUGUGUGAUUUUCUUUUGCAAAAGCGCUUAUUUUUCAAACAAUUCAAACCCCCCCUUUCUUGUUUUUCUCACCUUCAAUUGGUAUCAGAGCUCCGGCUCUGUUAUUGAUUUUCAAAUCAAACACUUAACCGUGUAGAGAGAUCCAGUGCGAGAAAAACAAAUGGCCCACUCAAAUGAGAAAGAUUCUUACAAUGCCAAGCCUCCUGUUUUUGAUGGAGAAAAGUUUGAUUACUGGAAAGAUAGAAUCGAAAGUUUCUUUCUGGGUUAUGAUGCUGACCUCUGGGACAUUGUCACAGAUGGAUACAAACCUCCAACCUUAAAUGGAGCUGAAGUUCCCAGAAGCAAAAUGUCAGAAGAUCAGAAACGUGAGUUCAAAAAUCAUCACAAGGCCAGAACAAUACUUCUAAAUGCUAUAUCAUACAACGAAUACGAAAAGAUCACCAACAGAGAGACGGCUAAAGAUAUACUUGACUCUCUGAAGAUGACCCAUGAAGGAAACUCCCAAGUCAAGGAGACGAAGGCUCUGGCGUUGAUCCAGAAAUAUGAAGCCUUCAAGAUGGAAGAUGACGAAGCUAUAGAAGCUAUGUUUUCCAGAUUCCAAACUCUUAUUGCAGGUCUUAAAGUGCUAGACAAAGGAUACACGACUGCAGAUCAUGUUAAGAAGAUUGUCAGAAGUCUGCCAAAGAAAUGGAGACCUAUGGUUACUGCUCUGAAGUUAUCAAAGGAUCUGAACAGUAUCAGCCUUGAAGAACUUGUUAGUUCUCUCAGAAGCCAUGAGAUAGAACUAGAGGAGGAUGAGCCUCAGAAAAGGAACAAGUCAGUGGCGCUGAAGUCCAGACCUGAAAGACGGAAGUCAGACAGAACCAAAGCUCUCCAGGCAGAAACUGCAGAUACUGACGACUCUGAACCUGAAGACUCUGAUGAUGAAGAAGAACUGUCCUUACUAACCAGAAGAGUUAAGCAACUCUGGAAAAGAAGGAACAACAACAACUUCAGAAGAUCAAGACCCAGAGGGGAUAGAUCAGAGUCAACUUCAAAAGGUAAACCUAAUAAAGAUAUUACCUGUUUUGAAUGUAAAGAAACAGGUCAUUAUAGAAAUGAAUGCCCCAAGCUGAAGAAAGAUAACUCUAAGAAAGAAAGCUUCAAGAAAAAUGCCUUCAGAACAAAGAAGGGAUUAAUGGCCACCUGGGACGAUAGUGAAUCAGGAUCAUCAGAAUCUGACUCUGAUGAACAAGCCAACGUAGCAUUUAUGGCUACCACAUCCAGCAGCUCAGAUGAAGAAUCUGAAGAGGUAUUUUCUGAACUUUCUAGAUCUGACUUAGAAUCAUGUUUAUCAGAAACUCUUACCUCUCUUCAGAAAUUAAAACAAAAAGUUAAAAGCAUUAAAGGCCUUCUUAAAGCAAAAUCUGAAGAAUGUAGUGAACUUGAGACAACAAUUCUAGCACAUGAAGAUACAAUCAAAUCUUUAACGUUAGAAAGAGAUGGAGCUAAAACAAAAAGCUUAAAAUUAGAAGAAGCGUUGUCUCAAGCACCACAAACUUCAAAUGAAAUUAUUUAUAAAUAUGAAGAAGCCUUUCAGAAGUUUCUGAAGAGUGGAAUAGAUAGGAGUAUUAUGGCAUCCAUGAUUUAUGGAGUAAGUCAGAAUAAUAAAAGGGGAAUUGGGUAUGAUUCUGAUUCUGAUAAAACUUCUACCAGUAACCAAAUUAAAUCACCUUUUUCAUACCACUAUACACACACACAAGAACACAAAUUUAAAAAUGCUAGAAGACCCAAAGUUGUAAGAAACUCUGGGAAAACUAAUCUGAAAGGACCCAAGAGAUUCUGGGUACCGAAAGAUAAGAUUAUCUAUGUUGCAGAUAUCCUAUGCAGCAAAGUUCAGACACCAGUCAUGGUACCUGGACUCUGGAUGCUCGCGACAUAUGACGGGAAGAAAGUCUAUGUUCCAAAGCCUGGAACUUAAAGACGCUGGCUUUGUAGGCUUCGGAGGAGAUCAGAAAGGAAGGAUCAGAGGCUCCGGAACUAUUGGUAAUGGUACUCUUCCCUCUAUAUCUGAUGUUCUUUAUGUAGAAGGAUUAAUGCAUAACUUGUUAUCCAUAAGUCAAUUAAGUGAUAACGGUUAUGAUGUAAUCUUUAAUCAAAAAACGUGUAAAGCCAUUAAUCAGAACGAUGGCUCUGUCCUUUUCACAGGCAAGAGGAAAAACAACAUUUAUAAAAUAAAUCUUUCUGAUUUAAAAGAUCAAAAUGUUAAAUGUUUAAUGUCAGUUCACGAAGAGCAAUGGGUAUGGCAUAGACGCUUAGGCCACAUUAGCAUGAGAAAACUUUCUCAGCUAACUAAACUUGAGUUAGUCAGAGGCUUACCUAAACUGAAGUUUUCUUCAGAUGCUCUGUGUGAAGCUUGUCAGAAAGGAAAGUUUUCAAAAACAUCUUUUAAAAAGAAAAAUGUUGUUUCUACCUCCAAGCCUCUGGAGCUUCUUCACAUUGACUUAUUUGGUCCUGUGAAAACAGCAUCAGUCAAUGGAAAGAAGUAUGGACUAGUAAUCGUUGAUGAUUACAGCCGCUGGACAUGGGUAAAAUUCCUAAAGCACAAGAGUGAGUCUCACUCUGUAUUCACCAGUUUCUGUUCUAAAGUGCAAAAAGAAUUUGACUCUAAAAUUGUUAGAGUCAGAAGUGAUCAUGGUGGAGAAUUUGAAAAUAAAGAUUUUGAAGAAUUAUUUGAUUCUAAUGGAAUAUCCCAUGAUUUCUCCUGCCCUAGAACUCCACAACAAAAUGGAGUUGUAGAGAGGAAGAAUAGGACACUCCAAGAAAUGGCCAGAACCAUGAUCAAUGAAACAAAUGUAGCAAAGCACUUUUGGGCAGAAGCUGUAAAUACAGCGUGUUACAUUCAGAAUAGAAUCUCUAUUAGACCUAUUCUGGAUAAGACUCCCUAUGAACUGUGUAAGGGAAGAAAACCCAACAUUUCAUAUUUUCAUCCUUUUGGAUGCAUUUGCUUUAUAUUAAAUACUAAAGAACAUCUGAACAAGUUUGAUUCCAAAGCACAGAAAGGUAUUAUGUUAGGAUACUCAGAACGCUCUAAAGGCUACAGAGUAUACAACACAGAAACCAAAAUUGUGGAGGAAUCAAUUCAUGUUAGAUUUGAUGAUAAGCUUGACCCUGAAAAGUCAAAGCUAGUUGAAAAGUUUGCAGAUUUAGAGAUCACUCUGGUAGAAUCUGAGAAAACUCCAGAAGCAACUGUCACUCCAGACUCUGAAGAAAUUAAAUCUCCAGAAAUUCCAAGGAAAGUCAAGAGUCGUAGCAACGUAUCUGAAGAUUUGAUUUUGGGAAACAAAGAUGAACCUGUUAGAACCAGAUCUACCUUCAGAACUUCUGAAGAUAUUCCUCUGGGACUAGUGUCUCUGAUUGAGCCUACGUCCUGUGAUGAAGCUCUUCAAGAUAACGAUUGGGUGGCAGCUAUGCAAGAAGAGUUAGAUCAAUUCUCCAAGAAUGAUGUCUGGGAUCUCGUUCCUAAACCCAGAGGCACUCAUGUCAUUGGAACCAGAUGGGUUUUCAGAAACAAACUGAACGAGAAAGGAGAAGUUGUCAGAAACAAAGCACGACUGGUAGCUCAAGGUUAUAGUCAACAAGAAGGUAUUGAUUAUAAUGAAACUUUUGCUCCAGUCGCAAGGUUAGAAUCUAUUCGUCUUCUUGUAUCUUUUGCUAUUAAUCACUCUAUCAAAUUAUACCAAAUGGAUGUCAAGAGUGCAUUUCUUAAUGGUUAUAUUUCAGAAGAAGUGUAUGUCAAUCAACCUCCAGGUUUUGAAAAUUCAAACUUUCCAGAACAUGUUUUCAAACUUAAGAAAUCCUUAUAUGGACUUAAACAAGCUCCCAGAGCUUGGUAUGAACGCUUAAGUAAUUUUCUUCUGGAACAAAAUUUUAUCAGAGGGAAAGUUGAUUCUACACUCUUCUGUAAAAAUCAUAAAAAUGAUCUCAUGAUAUGCCAAAUUUAUGUUGAUGACAUUAUUUUUGGUUCUGCUAAUAUCUCUGUUUGCCAAGAAUUUUCUAAGUUAAUGCAGGCAGAAUUUGAAAUGAGUCUAAUGCAAGAACUAAAGUUCUUUCUGGGAAUUCAAAUUAAUCAAACUCCAGAAGUCACGUACAUUCAUCAAAGCAAGUACAUUAAAGACGUUCUGAAGAAGUUUGAUAUGUCUGAAUGCAACUCUGCAAAGACUCCUAUGCACCCAACUUGCAUUCUGGAAAAGGAAGAGGUAAGCAACAAGGUUUGUCAGAAGCUCUAUCGAGGUAUGAUAGGCUCUCUUCUCUAUCUGACUGCUACUCGUCCUGAUAUUCUCUUUAGCGUCUGUCUUUGUGCCAGAUUCCAAUCAGAUCCUAGAGAAUCUCAUUUAACAGCUGUUAAGAGAAUUCUUAAGUAUCUGAAAGGAACUCCUAACCUGGGCCUGAUGUAUGAGAAAACAUCAGAGUAUAGGCUUUCUGGUUAUUGUGAUGCAGAUUAUGCAGGAGAUAGAAUAGAACGAAAAAGCACAUCUGGAAAUUGCCAGCUUCUGGGAAACAAUCUAAUCUCCUGGGCUAGCAAAAGACAGUCAACUAUCGCUCUAUCAACUGCAGAAGCAGAAUAUAUCUCAGCAUCACUGUGCACAACUCAGAUGCUCUGGAUGAAACAUCAGCUAGAAGAUCUUCAAAUCUUUGAGAGUAACAUUCCUAUCCUUUGUGAUAAUACUGCUGCUAUUUGUUUGAGUAAGAAUCCUAUUUUACAUUCCAGAGCCAAACACAUAGAAAUUAAACAUCAUUUUAUUAGAGACUAUGUUCAGAAAGGAAUAGUAACGCUGAAGUUCAUUGAUACAGAACAUCAAUGGGCAGAUAUCUUUACUAAGCCUCUAGCUGAAGAUAGAUUUCUUUUCAUCUUAGAAAAUCUGAACAUUAAAAAUUGUCCUGAGUAAAAUUUGGCUCUGAACAUGUAAAAUGAGACUCUGAUAAAAACAAAUACACUUCUGCCUCUGACUCUGAUACUUCUACCAAGUUAAGAAGAUAUCUGAGUUAGAAAUCUUCAGAAAUCCUUUGGUAUUCCUGAAGAUCAGAUACAUCAACACGUGGGGAACAUGCGUCUAACCCUAGAACUUCUAGACAGCUGUCAAAAGAAAUCAAAGGUCAGAACGCUUGAAAUCUCCUCGAGCAGUGUGCUUACUGUUGGGAUUAGACAUUCAUUAAUUAGCUAUAAUCAUUUUUCCCCCAAACGUGCUAUUUUGGUUUUUGUGCUAACGCUGGUAUGUGUGUCGUUUUGCAUGUGUUUUUACCCUUAGUAUAUAAACACUUUCUCUCACUUUUCACACUUAUCACUCUCACUCACUCUAAAACCCUAAACCCUUCUCUGAAAGUUCUCUGCAAGUUCUUCAUCUUCUUCAAUCUCCAUCAUCUUCAUCAACAUGGACGCUCAACAACAAGAACUCUUCAACCAUUCUCAACAAGUGGAAUCUAGUUCCAAUCCCCAAACCUCAAACACUCAAACACCCACGGUUAUAAGCGUCACCACAACCCCAGUUUACAAAGAACCUCACAUUCUUGACCGUGAACAACACAUUCAUCUUUCAACUCCCUUUGAAGGUUUGGAUGUACUGUGUGAAUCGCUGGUGGAUUUUGAGAAUUUGAGAAGAAAUGGCGUUGAUUUAACUGAAGAUCUUCGCAAGCAAGGUUGGGAAACCUACUUCAACAGAUUGUAUGGUCCAAUCUAUCCUCUUCUGGUGAAAGAAUUCUGGAGAUGUGCAGAUGCUGAUGAUGAGUUCAUUGUUUCUUUUGUUCUGGGAGUGAAGAUCAUCAUCACAGAAGCAUCUAUUGCCUCUUUGCUGAACAUGGAGAGAACUGGAGGUAAAAGGAUUUACAACAUUCCUCCAAGGUCCAAGCGCAUCACAGAAGUCAUUAACCCUACAAUCUUCAAAGCAAAUGUUGAAGGAAACCCAUCUAAGAACAAGGAGCUUCAUCAGAACCUCCGAGUUUGGCUGAAGAUUAUUCUGGGAACAAUCCAUCAUCGUCCAGCCUCCAACUCUUCAGAUUAUAUAAAUGCUGAUCAGAAAUGCAUCCUCUACUGUAUUCAGAAGGGUAUUCCAAUCAACCUCCCUGUUCUCCUCUUCAGAUAUCUGAGGGAUUCAGUCAGAGAAACAAGGAAUAAUAUGAAGCCCAGAUCCUACAUUCCUCUGGGAAGAUUGCUCUCUGACAUCUUCAUUGAGCAUGGGCUGGUAGAUGCUCUGGAGAAGACCAGAUGUAUGGAUGAUCUGGCAAUUGACGUUGGAAAGCCUCUGAAUGCCAAAAAUCUGAGGAGUAUGGGAAUCAUCAAAGACAUCAGAGUCAAGCCCACUAUGAAUGUAACCUGGGAAGCUCUGAAGGAUCAGAGGAAGAUGCCUCAUGGCCUUGAAAGGUUCUUCAAGAAUGAACCCAGAGAUGCCAUUGCUAUCUACCUUCAGGAUCGUCUGGAUGAAGGCAUUGAUAUCUCUGAUUUCCGCCUUGAAGACUGUCUGGACUCUGUAGAAGAUCUGGUCAGAUACAAAAGAGGUCUUUCUGAGAAGAAGAUAGCUGAGGAAGCAAGGAAGGCAAAGAAAGCCAGACUUGGAGAAACCUCUGGCACCAAAGCUUCAGCACCUCUGAAUGUCUCCUCUGGUAAGUCCAUUCCUCCUGUCUCUUCUGAAUCUGUAAUGGCUUCCUCUAACCCUCUCUCCUCUCAACCAAUAUAUACCACCGCUGAAAUACCACCUUCAACCAUCAGAACCUCUCAACCUCCACCUGUUCUAAAAAUUGCUCGUAAUUUCACAACAACCUCUGACCCUAAUCAACUAUAUCACCACAGCUCUUCCUCAUCCUCUGAAUAUGAAUCACCCCCUUACCUUUCCCCUUCUUCUGACCAAGAGUUCUCUGAACAAGAGUCCUCUGACCAAGAACACUCUGACCCAAACUCCCCAACAAUAGCUGAAAUUUAUGCUAAAAAUUUCGCUCCACAACCCUCAAGACAAUCUGAAGUAACCUCUCCCCUCCAAACUUCACUUCCACCACAACAAACAACAACCUUACCCUCUGAAACUCAACCAUCUGAUCCCUUCACCUCUAAUAUCACUCCACCAUUUAUUCCCGCUGUACCUGGACCAGACUCUGACCCUUUAGACCUAAAUCCACUAUAUGCUUCAUCCCCUAGUCUUCAACCAGACGCAGAUUCUGAACUUCAAGCAGAAUCUGAACCUCAACAAACUGAACCUCAACCUCUAAAUCUCAGCCCUCAAAACUCUCCACCUCAUUCACCUGAACCUGAACCUGAACUUACCAUACCUACCCUUGAGGAGGCCAUUAUACAGGUUGCAGAAGCUUCAGUCCAGAAGAUCAAGUCUCUGGCUAAAAACUCUGAAGUUAGUGAUGAUCCUAAAUCUGUUAGGACACACUGGAACAGAGUCAUUAGUUGGAUGACCUCUGAGUCUUAUAGGCUGAAGAGUAUCUCUGAACAAGUCAGAAAUGGCUACAUCAGAGACUCUGAGGAAAGACUCCAAGAGAGACUGGCUAGAGAAGCUGAGGCCAGAAGGUUAGAGGAAGAGAGACUGGCUAGAGAAGCUGAGGCCAAGAGAUUAGAGGAAGAAAGAUUGGCUAGGGAAGCUGAAGAAGAAGCUAAGAGGUUGGAAGAAGAACGCCUGGCAAAGGAAGCAGAACUUCUAAGGAUUCAGGAAGCUGAAGCCAAGGCUAAGGCAGAUGCAGAAGCCCAAGCUGCUGCUGAAGCUGAAGCUCAGCAGGCUCUGAUUCAGGGGGAGUCUUCCUCUGCGAUCCCUCUGAUUCUUAACACUCUGAAGGAGAUCAAGCAAGAUCAGAAAGAGAUCAAGCAAGAUCAGAGUGAGCUCCGGGCAAGGAUGGACAAGCAAGACGCUCUGAAUGAAAACCUCCAGAAUAUGUUUGCUAUGCUACUACAGAGACUUCCUCCUCCUCCAAACCCUUAGGCACUUAGGAUUUCUUUUGUUUGCCUAGUGUUUUUGCUUCUGUCUUUUCUUUUUUUUCUCUGAUAUUUCUGUUGAAUCUGAUGUUUUGACUGCUGCUUGCCUUUGUGCUUUUGUUUAAUGAAGUGUUUUUCUCUCUAUUAUUUUUUUUAUGUUUUAUGCCUUUUUGAUUAUGCCAAAAAGGGGGAGAAAUUAUUAAAUAGCUCUGAUGAAAAUUAUGUCUAAAACCUUAAGCAUUCUGCAACAAUUAUAGAAAUAGUUCUGAUAUAAAUAGCUCUGAUUAAAUAAUAGCUCUGAUUAAAUAACUCUAACAUUAAAAUUAAGAAAUUGCAGAAAGUUUUCAGAAAUCUCAUUGCUUGGAAAGCUCUGGUAAGAACUUCUGAACUCCCUAGUACUAACUCAGGGGGAGCUUUUGUCUAUCUGAUCUAAUAUUUUUCAUGUUUCAUCUGAUAAUUUUAUUUGUUUUGUCAUCAUCAAAAAGGGGGAGAUUGUAAGAACAAAAAUUGUUCUACAACAGAUUCCAUGAUUUUGAUGAUAACAAAGGAUGAAACCAAAAAUGGCACCCUAACGAAAAGUUUCUAAGUGUGCAGGGUUCUAAAGAAAGAAGAAAUAAAUCUGAUGAUGUCAUCAGAUGCAAAACAAGAUCAGAUGCAAAAUCUCAAGUAUCAGAAGCAUCUAAAGAGGAAUCUCGUUUCAAGAAGCUCUGACUCUGGACAAAACUACAAAGUAUCAGAAGCAUCUGAACAUGAAGUAAAGUCUAGAAGCUCUGACUCUGAACAAAUGCCUUCUGUAAAUUCUGAAGUUAUCAGCGCCAUCUGAACUUUCAAGAGAUAACAUCAGAAGCCAGUUUCUCCAGAUACACAAAGACUCUAAUCAGAAUUGUUAAUCAUGAUGAAGUAACGUUUAAGCCAAGUUAAAGUUCUGCAAAUGGAUUUCCUCAAUUAGAAAGAGACGUUAAUCUCCACUUCCAAGAGAGAAGAUACUAAUUGUGGUAAGUAGUCACUUCUAAGAGAAAAAGUCUACUGCAGAAGCUAUUAAUGGAAUGGCGUAACUACAUCUCAAUAUCCAACAGAUUCAACGCUACUUCAACUCUACUUCAACUCCUAUAAAUAGAGAAGAAAUCUCAUUCAGUAAACACGAAGAAAUCACUAGCCAAAACUAUACUGAAAUCAUAUCACGCUCAAGAAAAACAUCUUUGUUCUUCAAAGAUUUUCACUAAGCUUUUGCUUAUCAAGUGAAAAAUUUGUUCUUAAGUUUGUAAUAUUUGCUUUCUUAGAAGCACUCUAGAUUACACAUCUUGUAUCUAAUUUUUAUUUGAUUUCCUCAAGUGACUCUUUGUAGUCUGUAGACUUGAGAGGACUAAGAGAUUUUCUUCUCUCUUAGGGGUUGUUUGUAAUCUUUCAAGAUUAGUGGAUUAAGUCCUUGUUGAAGGCGAAAUCACCUUGGCCGGGUGGACUGGAGUAGCUUUGUGUUAUAAGCGAACCAGUAUAAAAUCUUUGUGUGAUUUCAUUUUGCAAAAGCGCUUAUUUUUCAAACAAUUCAAACCCCCCUUUCUUGUUUUUCUCACCUUCAAGUUUCACAAUUCUUUGAUGAACUAAAAUGCAAUUGAGGACUCCGCGUCUUUGAGUCAUAAAUCAUGGAGACUCAUAAUGCGUCCAAAAAUGCAUAUCCAAAAUUUAAGUGGCAUUUUCAAAUUUUUAUAGGAUGGUUUUCCAACACUUAUGUAGAGAUAAACAAUUUCGUAAUUAAAGGUCUCUAAGAGGAGUUGAAAUAAAUAUAUUUAAAAAAUUAGUAACAUAAUUAUUUAAGGAAUAAAGUUUUCUAACCAAAAGAAUUUUUCCCUAAUUUUUUUGUGCCUAAUUUAUUUUGCUAACAAAGUAAAGCCCUGAUUAUUGUUACUAAAUUUUAGUAAUUUUCAUUCAUCUCUCAAUUAAUAUCUCUUAUAAUCCUCAUUAACUCUCAAUUAAUGUAAUUCAUAUCUAUCAAAAAAAAUUGAAAAUUUUGUAUCUAGGCUUGGGACCAACUAGUUUAGUGAAUUGCUAAUUUCAUCUUAAGUGUUGGAAAUAUGCCCUAUAAAAUUUUGAAAAUACCCUUUUGAAUCCGAAAAUGCAUCUUCGAACGCACCUUACGCCUCACUAAAACACACCUCAACUUGUUGAUGUUUUUUAUGUAAUUCAAGUGAUGUAACCAGUUAUCUCGGGUAGGUAACCGGUUACAUAAAUGUCUAAAGUUCAAUCAAGUAGCAAAAAUGUGGAGUUUUUGAAGGUGUAACCGGUUAACCAUUUUGGUGUAAACGGUUACCACAAAAGCUGAUUUAAUUCAAUGUCAGGUGUAACCGAUUAUCCAUUUUUGUGUAACAUUACAAGCGUAAUAUUUUGAUUUUUCCUGCUAUUUUACUUGGUCAAUUCAGUUCCCAAUUGUGUUGUAUCUCUUGUAUAAGUGUUUAGAAUGCACACUCAUCUAAGGUUAAUGCAAUAAUAAUCUCUCCCCCUUAAUUCUCCUCUUUCACACUCCACAUCCAAAGUAUCUCCAUCAUUGUUCACCAAACUUGUGGUCUCUUGUUCCAAAAUUUGACAUCAAGAGUCUGGUUCAGAUCCACAAACACCUAGUGUGCAACAUGAAUUAUGUUUCCAAUGAAAGAAUUCCUGCAAACCUACCUAUCUUUGAUGCGAAGAAUUAGGAUAAACGGUGCAAGGAAAUGAAGAUGUUGUUUGGAUACCAAGAUGUUCUUAAAGUAAUCAAUAAGGAUGUUACUCCUCUUAUUCAAAAUGAAACAGAGGCGCAACAAGCAACACAUAAGGAAGAGAAGAAGAAAUAGUUCAAUGUGUUGAUGGCGAUGAUUUUAAGAAAGUUGAUGAUUGUGAAUCGUCAAAGUAAGCGUGAGAGAUCUUAGAGAAGGCAUGUGCAUGGGUUGACAAGGAAAAGGUGGUGAGGUUACAAACUCAUAAACGUCAGUUUGAAUUGAUUCAAAUGGAGGAAAAGGAGAUAAUCAAUGAUUUUGCAAUGAGAAUCACUCGGUUGGUGAAUCAAGUGAAGGCAUGCAAAGAAACUGUUACGGAGUUGUAUGUUGCUGCUAAAAUCUUGUGUUCUUUAACACCAAGAUUUAACAGUAUAGUUGUGGCAAUUGAUGAGUCAAAGGAUCCCGCGACGAUGAGCAAAGAGGAGUUGCAAAGUUCUCUUGAGGCUCAUGAGAAAAAGAUGGAAAAGAGGAAUAACGAUAAGGCAAAGGCGGAGAUUGCUUUGCAAGCUCGUUUCAAUGAGAAGGACAAGAGAUCGAAAGGAAAAUGGCCCAAGAAAAGAAAAGGGAAUUUUCAUAAUUUGGGUGGAAGAGAGUCCUAAAAUUCAAAUGAUUUGACUUGUCAAAGGGGUGAGAGCAGCUACAAUAAACAUGGUGGUCAAGGAAACUUUAGAGGUAGAAGGAAGAAGUUUGAUAAGAGCAAGGAGAUGUGCUAUAAGUGUCAAUGGUUCGUUCAUUUUGCAAAAAAAUACAAUGUGAACAAGAAAGAAUCUCAAGGGAUUAAACCAAGGUUGCAAGAUAAGAGUUUGAUGAAGAGAAUAUAAUUUUGGUCAUGAUCAAAGAAGGGAAUUAUAGCAGCAAACAACUGUGGGACAACAGCGGCAAUAAAUCAAAGAAUGCUAAAAAGGUCGGUUGAAUGAUACGAUUAACCGAUCGCAUGAAGAGGAAGAUACCAUGAUGAGUUUGAAAGGAGUUCAAUGUAGUGAUGAGUGGUAUUUGGACUUGGGUUGUUCAGCUCAUAUGACAGGAAUAAAGGAUUGGUGUGUCAAAAUCAAUCGUGCCAUGAAGAAUAAACUAAAGUUUGCAGAUGAAACCACCCUAAUGAUCGAUGGGAUCGAUGAUGUUUUGAUCAUGAGAAGGGAUAAUGGACAUUACUUAAUCACAAAUUCUUGUACAUUUUUGGAAUCAAAUUUAACCUUCUAAGUAUUGGCCAAUUGCUUGAGAAGGAUUCCAAGAUUCACAUGGAAGACAAUGGGUUGUGCGUUAUGGAUAUAAGAGGAGGCUUGGUCCUUAAAGCGCAUAUGGCUGCCAAUAGAACCUUUAAGGUUGAGUUGAAGGUUAUAGAGUAUAAAUGUCUUGCUACUACAUCAAGUAGACAACAGUGGAUAUGGCACUAUCGUCUUAGACAUCUCAAUUUUAGAGAUCUCAAAGACUUUCAAAAGAACAUAAUGGUAACAGGGCUGCCAUUGAUCAACAUACUAGCUGAAAUUUGUGAAGAAUGUGUGCAAGUGAAGCAACAUAAGGGAAAAUUGAGCAAGUAGACUCUAUUGGUGGAAAUAUGUAUUUUGUCACAUUUAUCGAUGAUCAUAGUACAAAACUAUGGACAUACCUAAUCAAGAUAGAUGACAAUGUAUUUCAUGAUCGUCCGUCAUUGCAUAUAUUUAGUCGAAGAAUCAGACAAAACAAGUGAAAGUUAAGAUAAAAUGAAGAAGAAUAAGGAAAAAAUAUCUAAGCAUGGAAACUGGGGACUUAUUGAAAUUUUGAGUAAAAAAGGGAGCAAAAGUGUGCAACCACUGGAAUAAUCAUGCGCACCAUCACGUAGCAUCGUGCACACAAUGGGGUCUUUAAAGUUGCAUCGCGCAUGCGAUACAAGGAAUCACGCGCGUGAUAAAUACUUUUUAUGGGCUUUUCAGACGCGUUCUGGUCCAUUCUAACGCCUUUAAAAGGGGAUUUUCUGAACUUUCACAAGAGUUACAAAAUUGGGAGAUCUAGGCACUACUUUGAGAGCACAAGUGGUGAUUUUUAUAACAUUAGAAGUUAUUGGAGACCAUUACUUCAACGUAUUUCACAUGUUAUUUUCAUCUAUCAAUUAUGAUAUUUUUAAUUGCAUUAUGAGUAGCUAAGCUCCUCUAGAUUAGGUUGUAUACUGAUGAACCUAUUUCUAUAUUGUUGGAAUCUAUGUUGAUUUAACAAUUGUGUGAACCUUUUGAACUAUAAUUCCAUUCAAUUGCUUCUUGUUCAUAAUGCUUUUUAUGUGAGAUGAUAUUUUAAUAUGAUUUUGGGAACAUAAGGAAUACUGACCAUUAGUCUAUGUGUUGGACCUAGGGAAAUUGUUGUACUUACGCUGGUUGAAUAGGAAUAGGAGACCCUGAGUAGUGGCGUAGAGAAUUAACGCUUUAUACAUCGCCUAACCCUGCUUACGCUGGAGGACUAAGGAUAAAAAGCUCUGAGUGGUGGUUAGUGAGUUAUUUCAUGAGGGAUCAACUAUAACAGUUUUGUUAAUUCGUCGUGGUGUUAUAGUGAUAAGACCAUUCGUACAAGACAUCAAACAUCAACAAUAGAGGAAUAUGAGAUUUUAAAACACAACUUGGCCGCUUUCGUGAUAUUGUUUAAUUGUUUAUUUACUUUUUGCACAGAAACUCAACCCCCCCCCCCCCNNNNNNNNNNNNNNNNNCCCCCCCCCCCCUUUACUAGUUUUUUAUAAAUUGCACACAUUUUGUCUUGCUUGAACGAAGUUCACGUGGAUUCGAUCUUUUUAUUACUUCGACGAUGUCAAUACACUUGUCGAGAAGUCAUCAAGUUUUUGGCGCUUUUGCCAGGGACUAUUAAUUUUUCAUCAAGGCGAUGUUUGUGCAAUUUUUUUUAGUCUUUAAAUUUUAUGUUUUAUUUUCUUGUUUCUCAAAAUGCUAUUGAGGUAUUUUCUAUUUGUGUAUGUACCGUUCAGGAUCAACAUUAAUACCAUUGGAUCCAAAAAUUGAAAGAAACGCACAUGCUCUCAGAAAAGCUGUUAGAGGAGCAACUCUGGAAAGAGGAAUACUAGAAGAAGAGUAAUUAUCAAGUUAGUCAUACUCUGAAGAUGAAGCUGUAAUGGCAGAUGCACAACCCCUAACUAUGGGGGAUUAUUAUAAAUGAACCGAUGAAGGACACUUCUCCAGAGGGUUUGUACCGGUAGACCCUUCUAACUUUGAUAUUAAAAAUUAUGUGCUUUAAGGUUUGAGAGAAAAUUUGUUCGGCAGGAACACGAUUAGAGACCUAUGGGUGCAUCUUACACACUUCUAUGAAACAACUUCAAUGUGAAAAUCAAUUGAUGCCACUGAAGACCAGGUUAAAUUGAGGUUGUUUGGGUUCUCACUAAUUGGAAGGGCGAAGAUUGGUUACUUUUCCUCCCGAAUGGAACGAUACGAACAUGAAAGGAAUUAGAGGAUAAAUCCCUGGAAAGAUUUUUCACUACUACUCAGUUUACCGAGCGCUAAGCAGAAAUUGUGAGGUUUGAGCAGUAGGAAAUUGAGUCACUUUAUGACUCUUGGGAAAGAUUCAAACUUUUGUUACGCAGAUGCUCGAAUCACAACAUGAAUAAUAUAGAGCAGAUGCAAAACUUCAUUAAAGGUCUCAAAGUCAAACUCACGUAUUUUUGGAUGCUUCUACGAGAGGUACUAUCUGAAAAAUGAAUGAACCAUGGGUAAAAGAUAUCAUUGAGAAAAUGUGUAUAAUUGAGUACCGAUCCAAGAACGAAAGGUCGAUCAAGAUGGGAACUGUGGGCACGCCUAAAGGUAUGUUACCUAUUGAUACCCACAUUGCUCUUUUAGCUCAGAUUGAAUUAUUAAAUAAAAAGCAAGCUGGAAGAAGCUUAGUUAAAGCUAACGUAAGUCAGGUACAAGCACUUAAAAGCGAUUUAUAUGGAGGAUAACAUGCGAAUGGAAGUUGUUCAUUGGAAGGGACAAGUGAGGAGGUAAAAUUUUAUAAUUUUUAAAAAAAAUAACUUGUAUUCAAACACAUAUAAUCCGGGUUAAAAAGACCACCCAAAAUUCCUUUGGAAUAAUAAUCAAAAUUCAAAUGCUAACUAAGGGAUGCAACAAAGCCAACAAGCUCUGUUUCAAAGAAAUCCAUCACAAAUGGUAGAGACCUUGAAAAUUUUCAUUAAGGUCACUCAAAGUAGCUUUGCUAGGGUAAAUAAGACCCUUGAAGAAAUGAGUAGAAACUAGGAUGCGUCUAUCAAAAUUUUGGAGAUGAAGAUUGGUCAAUUAUCCAGACAAGUAGCUACUUUUCCAAGCUCAAGUGGAGGAUUCACCAGUAACAUUGUUGAUAACCCUAAGAAUGAUAACCCUAAAUAUAGGUUUAGGGGAAAUUACUGAAAAGGAUAAGGAGGAGAUAGUUAAAGAACGUGUGGUUAAGAUAGAUGAGGGUACAAAUCAAGGUGACCAAGAGGAAAGAGGAGACAUCAUUGAUCAACUUAUUGACAAAAAUUCUCCUCGGGGGAGAACAAAGAAGCAGAUCAUGACUGAACCAAAUCCUCCUUUACCAGAUCACGUAAAACCACCGUACCCAAUAAUUAAAAAGAAAGUGGUUUAAGAUGAUGAAGCGAGAAUGUUUGCAAAGUUCAAGGAAAUUCUAGCUACUCUCCGGGAAAGUAUUUCGUUCCAUGAAAUUUUAGAACUAAUGCCUAAGUUUGCUAAAUUUAUGAAGGCGUUACUAAAUGGGACGGAAGAGAAAAGGAUCAAGGAACAUGUAAACAUGACCGAAAAGAAUGAUAUGGUAAAACCUCAAUCCUUACAACCUAAACUAAAAGACUCAAGUAAAUUUAUGAAGGAGUUAUUAAAUGGGACGAAAGAGAAAAGGAUCAAGGAACAUGUAAACAUGACCGAAAAUGAUGAUAUAGUAAAACCUCAAUCCCUACAACCUAAACUAAAAGAAUUAGGUAAGUUUACUAUUUCCUAUAAUAUUAGUGGAUUCAAUAUUCUGCAUGCUCUAUGUGAUAUGGGAUCUAACAUAAAUGUCAUGCCACCGAAAACUGUCAAAGAAUUAAAAGUGGGUGAGAUCACACCGAGUAACAUGACUCUCAGUCUAGUUGAAUUGUCUAUUACUCAUUCAAUUGGUACUUUACGCGACAUAUUAGUACCUAUCGACGACUUAUUGUUUCCUAUAGAUUUUAUAGUGCAUGAUACAAAAGAAGAUUCGGGAGGAUCUAUUAUUCUUGGACAUCCAUUCUUGGCAAUCGGGAAAGCAAAAGAUUGAUGUGUAAACUGGUCAACUUAUCUUGAAGUCAAAUAAAAGGAAUGUGGUUUUCAAGGUAUAUGACUGGACACCUUAUGUGGAUAAUUUGGAUACUUUCUACUAUCUGGAUGAAAAAGGUAGGAAAGUAGAUAAAGGAACAAUGAGAAAGAAAGUGACAGGCGUGAGGGUGUCCCUUGCGCCUGACGUACCUUAGACAUGGAUUAUCAAGCUAGUGAUGUUAAAAAAGUGUUUGAUGGGAGGCAACUCAUCAAUAAGAAUUUAUUUUUUUAUCAUAGUGAAUAUUAAUUUUUCUAACCUUGUUAAUUUUUGUGCUAUGUUAUUGGAAGAGAAAAUAGGUGAAAGAAGAAAAGAAAGAAAAAGCAAAAGGGAAGAAAAUAGAAAAAGAAAAGAGAGAGGAAAGUUUCAUCCCCCAGAAUCAUCACGUAUGAUAAUAUAAACUAGUUCUUUACAAUAAUAAAAUUUGAUAUUUAUUUAUACAAACACAAUUAUAUAAAGAGAAUAACACACAAAUCACACAUGAUAAUUUUAGAAUAAUUAUACUCUAAUAUUUUUUGAGUCGUGAUAUAUCCUCUUCUUAAAUAUUUGAAAGUUGAAUCUCUCUCACUAAUCUCUAUUCCCCUAUUUAUUUUAAGAAUAAACAUAUUGAAUUAAUAAAACAUAAUUGCACCUUUCUUAAAGGUUAUACAAACAACUACUAAAGUUGAAAAAACUAAAGAGAGGUCAACUCAAUCUUUAUCAAAUUAAAUUAAAGUUUAUUAUAAAACACAAACAACUAGUUCAUUCAAAUGAUAACUUGUUUAGUACACAAGUAAGAUCUUACUUAAUACAUAGAAAUAAGAUCUUACAGAAUAUAGAGAUUAAAAACAUAGGAAUAACAUGAAAAGCUUUUAAAAUGACAUAGACAUUGAUUAACAAAGAUAUGAACUAGUUUCGGGUAUUUCUUAACCAUCCGUCAAGGUAAACUUGUUUGGAGUCAGGGGUGGAUUUUGCUUUCUCGACUCGGAUAUCUUUCAACCAUCCAUCAAGGUAAACCUGGUUGUUGUCAGAGGUGGAUUUUACUGUCUCGGCUCGGAUAUCUUUCAACCAUCCAUCAAGGUAAACUUGUUUUGGAUCAGAGGUGGAUUUUGUUUUCUCUGCUCGGGUAUCUUUCAACCACCCAUCAAGGUAUACUUGGUUGGAGUCAGGGGUAGAUUUUAUUCUCUCGUUUCGAUAAUCUUUCAACCAUCCAUCAAGGUAAACUUGGUUGGAGUCAGACAUGGUUUCUGUUUGCUUUGCUCGAGUAUUUUUCAACCAUCCAUCAAGGUAAACUUGGUUGGAGUCAGAGGUAGAUUUUUCUUUCUCAGCUCGGGUAUCUUUUAACCAUCCAUCAAGGUAAACUUGUUUGGAGUCAAGAUUUUUCUUUCUCAGCUCGGGUAUCUUUUAACCAUCCAUCAAGGUAAACUUGUUUGGAGUCAGAGGUGGAUUUUGUUUUCUCUGCUCGGGUAUCUUUCAACCAUCCAUCAAGGUAAACUUGAUUGGUGUUAGGCAUGGACUUUUCUUUCUCAACUCUGAUAUUUUUCAACCAUCCAUCAAGAUAAACUUGGUUGGAGUCACUUGUAGAUUUUGUUUUCUCAACUCGGGUAUCUUUCAACCAUUCAUCAAGGUAAACUUGGUUGGAUUCAGAGGUGGAUUUUGCAUUCUCUGCUCUGGUAUCUUUCAACCAUCCAUCAAGGUAAACUUGGUUGGAGUUAGGUGUUGACUUUUCUUUCUCAACUCUGCUAUCUUUCAACCAUCCAUCAAGAUAAACUUGGUUGGUGUCACCUGUAGAUUUUGCUUUCUCAGCUCGAUUAUCUUUCAACCAUCCAUCAAGGUAAACUUGGUUGGAUUCAGAGGUGUCUUUUGCUUUCUUUGCUCUGGAAUCUUUCAACCAUCCAUCAAGAUAAACUUGAUCGGAGUUCUGGGAGGAUUUGGUUUUCUCUGAUCGUGUAUCUUUCAACCAUCCAUCAAGAUAAACUUGGUUAGAGUUAGCAAUGUGUUUUCGACUCUUCAAUGGAUUUUUGAGCCAACCAUCAAGGUAAGGUUGAUCAGCUUGUAUUUCUUGUACAUUCUCUUGCUGAAGUUUGAUAUAUCGGGCAAAGCUUCCUUGUCCAUUCUAUAAUACAAUUGAAUAAAUGGAUAUUAGUGAGUUAUUUUUGGAUGGUAUAUAUGAUUACAAAAACAAAAUUAUGUGUUUUAUGAGACACAUUAUGUUACAUAAAUAAGACACAUUCAUUGUAUAUUUCAGAUGGAUAUAGAAUGCGAAAUAAAAAUCAAAGAAAAACAAUUUUUUAAAUUUCAUUGCCGCAUAGAAAAUAUUAUUUUGUCAAAUUAAAUAGAACAACUUGAUUAAGUGAAUGAUGAAAUCAAAUCAAAUAAAGAUGCAAAAUGAUAGAUUGUGAUAAAUAAAUGAUGAAAAAUAUAUGUGUAAAAGAUACAAGAAUGGAUGCAUAACUUACAAUCAAUAAGAGCAUGAUAAAAGGGAGGAGAGACAAAACAUCUUUGUUUGUCAUUUCUUUAAUGUUAUGAUUUUGUGGGAAAAUUGUUUUAAUGUAAAAAGAUGUAUUGAAAUGGAAGUGAAUUGUGCUAUUUAUAAGUGAAUGAAAAGAAAAACUACAUUAAGGACAUUGAGACUUUGGUUGGCAAGAUUAUUUUUUUAAAUAUUUAGUUUAAAUUAUUUUUUAAAUGUUUAGUUUAAUUGAUAAGUUUAUAUGUCUAAGAAAGAUCAAUUUACUAAGAUUUAUUAUUUACAAGAUCUAUUAGGUGUGUUGUUUUGAGUUAUAAAAAAUAUUAAAAAAAUUGUUUGUUUGAUAUAUUUUUUUAAUUAGAAGCUCCUAACUAAAUCCUCUUAGUUUAAAAUAAAUAAAUUUUAGAACUGCUACUGCAAUUAUUUUUAUUUUAAAAUUAAAAAUGAUUUUCUAAAAAUCCUUAAUAAAAACAUAUUAAAAUGACAAAGGUGAUUUUGUUAAAUGUUAAACAAACAUUUAUUUUGAUAAGUUAUUUCAAAUAACUUAAAAUUUCAUAAAUUUAUUUUAAUUUAUAAUUAAAGUGGUAAUUAUGAUAAUCUCGCCUCUUGAGUUCUAAUAUUUGAGCUAAUAGUAUAAAUAUGUUUUAGUUGAAUUAGAAUUUGCAUUAGUGAUAGUUUCAAUUUUACAAUUAAUUAGACUAAAAUAUUGAUGUUCGUCAUAUAUAUAUAUAUAUAUAUNUAUAUAUAUAUAUAUAUAUUAAAUAGUAAUUAUAUAUUAUAAAUUUUAAUUUUGGGAAAAAAAUAUUAUUUCAAUAUUUUAAAAUUUUAAUAAUUAUUGUUUUAUAAAAUUAAUUAUAAUGAGUAUAAUAUUUUAAUUUUAUUAUCAUCAAAUAUACCCUACAUCAAAAUUCACAAACUUUAAAUAUAAAUAUCGGGAUCCACUUAAUUGAAUUGGAAUUUAAACAUCAAAAUUUAGACAAAUGUUAAAUUUUGAAGCACUUGGUUUUUGAAUCAUGACUCUUCUACAACCAACUCCUAGGGACUUACUACAUAGCCAACAAUGAAUCCAAAAUAGUUUCACAAGAAACACUAAAAUACUGUGUUGGCCUUUGCAUGUUUAAGAUGUUCACAUGUAGCUGGGGUUUGCGUGCUUAUGAGCUUACCUAAUAGUAAGUUAAAAAAACAAUAUAUUAUUAUACUGACCAGUCUAAAGAGAAAUAGAUAAGUUACUGUAUUUGUUAUUAUAAUCAAAUAUUAUCUAAAAAAGAAAUAAAUUAUAAGGAAUAUGUUUUCAUUAUUUUUAUCUUUAUUUAAAGAAUAUAAAUAUUUUUUAAUUAAUGAUAAAUAAUUGAUUUUAAAUGUGAUUACGGUUUAUAUCUUUAUCUAAGAAAAUAAAUGAUAAAAUGUGAAUACUCAUAUCUAAAAUUAAAUAUUUAUCCAAUUAUGUAGGCCAGCCUCAUAUUUAUUGUAAAAAUUUUAACAAAGUUUAAAAUAAUGAAAAUUAGAAUAAUGGUAUUCCUACAUUAAAUCUUACAUCAAAUACUUACAUUAAAUAUUUUUUACCGUAUUUAAACGAUGAAUAAUAUUUUUAUUUUUAAUAAAAAAAUAUUUAUAUAAAAAUGUUUUUAUUUUUAAAAUUAUUUUUAUAAUAAAAAUAUAAAAUUUAUCACAAAAUAAUUUUAUUAUCGUAUUAACUAUAAAAAUAUAGGUUAUAAAUCACAUAUUUCACUUAUAAUUCAUUAACCAGUAAAAUACAUAAUAUUAAUCAAAUUAUGAUAUUAAAAUAUGAAAUAUAUAAUUUGCUUAAUUAUUAUAUUUUAUAUUUUAAUGUCACAAUUUAUUUAUAUUAUUUAUUUUAUUAAUUGAAUAUAAUAAUAAGUAAAAUAUAUGGUUAAUCAUCUAUAUUUUUAUGAUUAAUACAAUAAUAAAAUUGAUUAGUGACAAAUUUUAUAUUUAUAUUACAAAAAUAAUUAUAAAAAUAUAUCAAAAACGAGUUUAAGACAACGUAGGAAAAAGUGAAGUGACACUCAAAUAUUAUUUGCUCAUUAAGCAAUCAGUUAAAAUUAAAGUGAAUUAACGAAUUAAGCAUAAAGUUUCACACAAUCAAAAUUAGGGAACAAUAAAUCAAUCGAACAAAACAAAACUACUAAGUUUUGAGUGUAAAAUUUGGUGUAAUAUUAAAAAUUAAAAAAAAAUUGAGGUUUAUAAGAUGUAAAAUUAUUUAUUAAACUCUUUUAAUAAAUUUAAUAUUAUGAUAAUUUAUUAUGAUAAAUAAUAUUUAAAAUAAGAAAAGAUUGAGCUUUUAAAGGAUGAAAUUCUAGUCAUUAGAUUAAAGAAAACAUCACCAAAACCUUAUUUCACAGAUGAAAUCGACUACAUAUAUGAUAUAUCAAUUUUCACGCUAAUAUUCUAUCAAUCACCAUAUUUUAUAGCCAUUAGACUAUUUAAUCAAAAUUAUUCAUAAUAAAUUUCAUUUGAUAUUUACUUUUUAAUAGAUAAUAAAGUAGAUAUAUUUAAUCUUUAUUAAAAAAUUAUUAAACAUUAUUGGUAUUAAAUAUGAUUUUAUUAAUUUUAAUUUUGAUAUAAUUAAUGGAUAUAAGUAUUGGCUCAAGAUAUAUCAAAGCCUUUGCCAAAUUUUUAACAAAGAUUUUAAUAAUAAAAAUUAUGAGUGUAAUAUUUAAAAUAAAAAAUUGAGCUUUUUAAAAUGUAAAAUUAUUGAUUGAAUUAUCAUAAAUCAGUUAAGUGUGUAUUUAUGCAAGAUGGGACAUCCCAUUUGCAGGGGCACAAAUUCAACCCACAACAUCUCACUUUUUAUCUUGGAAAAUUCCAAUCAAUAAAUUACUUGAUCCAAAAAAAUCAUAGUAAAUCUUGUUUGAUAUUUAUUUUCAAUCAAAUAUAUGUAAUCCUUAAUGAAACCUUAAACAUUAUUGAUUUUAAAUAAGAUUUUAUUAACUUUAAUUUUAUACCAUUAAUAGAAGGACUAUAUUCUGGAACGAAUUAAUAUAUUUUCGUUAUUCUUAUUUUUAUUUAAAUAUUUAAAUAUUAUUUAAAUUAAUAAUAAAUAAUUGGUUUUAAAUGUGAUGAAGUUUAUAUCUUUAUCCGAAAAAAUAAACGAUAGUGAAUAUUUAUAUUAAAAAAUAACACAAUACACUUAAAUAUUUAAUCUCCUUAACCUAUCUAAAUAUCUAGGCCGGCAUAAGACAUAUUGAAGUUUAGUGUAAAAAAUUUAACAAAGCUUUUAAUUAUAAAAAUUAUGACUGUAACAUUUAAAAUAAAAAAAAUUGAACUUUAUUAUUAGAUGUCAAAAUAUUUAUUAAACACUCUUAAUAAGUAUUAAAUAUAAAUUUAUUAAAUUUAUUUUUGAUACAAUUAAUGAAUAUAAGUACGGGCUCAAGAGAUAUACACGCCUUUGAUAAAAAAUUUAACAAAGAUUUUAAUUAUAAAAAUUAUGAAUAUAACAUUUAAAAUAAAAAAGUUGAUCUUAAAAGAUGUAAAAUUCUUUAUAAAAUUAUUAUAAUAGUUUUUGAUUAAUUAAUAUGCACAGUCAAUAUCAUUUUUUUAUUAUUAUUAUUAUUAUUAUUAUUAUUAUUAUUAUUAUUAUUAUUAUUAUUAUGCGUCGGUGUACAACUCAUAAAAAAAGACGUCAAUCAUAAAUAUAUAUUGGUACAGUGUCGUCAAUUGGAUUGACGCAUCCUCGUAGGUGUUAUAUGCAGGGAUGAAGCUAGAGAUUUUGAACUGUAGGAGCAAUAUAUUAAUAUAUAAAUUUAUUUCUAUUUAUUUUUAAAUCAUAAAUAUAUAUUUAAUUUAUUUUUAAAUCAUAAAUAUAUAUUAUAUCUAUUUUUUAAGAAAUCUAUCUCUAAAACAAUUUUUAUUAAUUUUUUAAAAUUUUAAAAUUUUAAAAUUUUGUAAAUUUUAAAAUUUUAUUAUCAAGAAAAAUAUUUUUUUAUGUAUUUUUUAUGAGAUCAUAAUAUUAACAUAAAAUUCUAUAAAUCAAUUUUUUUAAAGAUCGAGGAAAAAAUUAUUUUAAAAUUAUAACAAGAAAAACAAUUCAAUAUAUUUCAUCUGACAUGUUUUAAUUUAAUUAUUGAAAAUAAAAAAUUCACUAUAUUUUUGGACAAUAUCCUAAAUAAAUAUUCAUAUACUUUAUUAUUUUCAUCUAAUUUUUAGUAAUAUCUUCAUAAUAAUAAUAUUAUUUAUAUAAAUUUAAAAUAAUAUAAAUUUAUAUAUAUAUAUAUAUAUAUAUAUUUAUAUAUAUUAUAUAUAUAUUAAUAUAUAUUAUAUAUUAUAUAUAUAUAUAUAUAUAUAUAUAUAAUAUAUAUAUAUAUAUAUAUAUAUAUAUAUUAUAUAUAUUAUUUAUAGUAGGGACCAUUUGUCUUAUGCUAUUUUAAUUUGUUAUUUCUUAAUUUCCCCGUCUAUUUCAGUGUUUGGAUUAAAAAAAGGGGGGGGUCGGGGGUUCCCUCUUGGGGGUGGGUUUAGUAUUUUAAUGUUUUUUUACUUAAUAUUUCUUUUGUGUUUUUCACAUUCUUCUAUGUCUUAGAUUGACGUCUUCUUUAUUUUGAAAGUGGGUUACUCUCAGAAAUAAUUGAAAAAGUAAAUUAUUUUAGAUAUCUAUUUGAAAAGUUAGAAAAUCUUAAAUAUUAUUCAUUUUAAAUAAUAUUUUAUUAAUAUAAUUUUUAAUACCAUUAAUAGAAGGACUAUAUUCUGGUAUCAACCGAAAGGAUUAUAUUAUUGGACUAUUUUAAAUUUCCUAUUAUAUUGUUGUCGUCUAUUAUCAAUUUAUUUUAUCAAUAAAUCACUAUUUGAAAUUUUAUUAGUAUUUAAGUCUUUAAAUUCAUCUACACCUUUGACUUCUACUAUUAAUUUUCAUUUUCAUUUUUUUAAUGUUUAUAUAACUGGUACAUUGUUAACUUGUUUAUUUAAUAAACAUUAAGCAAUAUUUUUAAAUUAACUUUUUAAUUUAUUUUUAUAAAUUUAUCUAAAGUUCCCUUUUAUAAUUUAAUUAAAAUUUCAACUCUCUUUUUUUAAUUUCUAAUUUUUUUUAUUCAAAUUUUUUUAAUUGACAUUACUCUAAAUAACAUAAUAAAACAAUUUCCACAAUAAACACAAACAAAAAAAAAAUUCAAAAAUAAGAUAAUUGAUUAAAUAUAAAUGAUUUAAAUUAAAAGUAAAUAAAAUAAAAUUGCAUAAAUAAAAUAUAAUUUUAUCCUUUUACAAUGCUAGAGAGGACAUACACUUUAUCAUAGAAGUAACGAUUAAUUAAUGGAGAUGAUGAAUUAACAUAUUUUAUACUCUCAUAUACACAUUUUAGGUUGGAAAUGAUUUGAUAUAAUCCUUUAUCUAACCUGUUUAAAUUUUAAUGGGUUGAAUUUGUCGUUCAACCCACAAUUUCAUUGUCAAAAUUGACAGAAACCGACUUGUUUAUUUAAGGGUUGUGUUCGCGAUGUUUUAAAUAAAAAUUAUUUUUUUAUAUAUUUUUUAAGAUAUAAAAAAUUUAACCCAAUUCAAAUUAGAUGAAACACAUCAUAUAAUGUCUAAUAAAGUUCAUCAACACGACAUAACACUCGAUAAUAGUAUUAAAUUCUAAUAGUAUCAAUGUUAAAUUAUUUUAAAACAAUUAUUUUAAUUAACUCUUUAAUCAUAACAUUUAUUUAUUAUAUUUUUAUAAUACAUUAUAAUAAAUAUAUUAUAAAUAUUCUUAUUUUUAAUUAGAAAUAUAUAAUGAUAAGUUAAUUAAAUAAUUAUGGUUUGUGAAAAACAAAAACAAAAUCAACGUCAAAGUUAUAUGCUUCAACAAUUUAUAUAAUGACUCAUUUUUAAAUAAAAUAGCUUUAAAAAUUAAAAGUUUGAAAAAUAAUAGUUGAUAUAUUAUAUAUUUUAUUUAUUUUUAUGUUGACAAUAUAAAACAUAGACAUUAAUUUUAUUCUUUAACCAUAAUUUUUAUAAUAUAUUAAAAUAAAAAGUAGUUAAAAUUAACUAAUAAAAUUAAUUAUAAAUAGUUUAAAUAAUUUAAUUAUUAUCAAAUAAAAAUAUAUAAAAUAUUUAUUUAGUAAAGAAUAUUAAAACGAAUAACAAAUUAUAUGAGAUGAUAUGACUUUUUUAUAAUCUUUUGUUUUCUUAAGUUAAAUUAUUUAGUAGAUAAAAAAAAAAAUUAAAAUUGAUAUAUUUCUCUCUCUUCUUUAAAUGAUAUUUUUUUUUCUAUUUCUUACCUUUUAAUAGUUGGAUUAAUCAAAUGGUUUAAAAUUGCACAUGAGAGAGGGCAUAAGAGAAAAAAUUGGAGAGGAUCCAAUUCCGAUAAAAAGAUGUGGUAAAUUUAUGAGUAGUUUAAUAAUUUAUACAUAUUUUUAGCCUUAUUAAUUGUCACUUCGUUGAAAAAGAAAAAGGAAAUAAUAAUAAUGAUAGUGAUAAUAAUUAAAUAAUAUUGAAUUUUUUGACAAAUAAUGUUAUUAAAUAUUAUUGAAUAUAAUAGAUGAAAGAGAAAAAAAAAUGAAGAUCUUUGUCUGGCUUACCUCCUCGUUGAAUAGGGUAUGCUAACUAUUAAUAUGCCAAAGCCUCUUUAAAAAAUUAAACAAAUCAAUUAUAGGAUCCGAUAACUAUUAAGGAAUUUCUUAUGUCAUCAUAUGAAAUGGAAAAACUAUACAAAAUUUAAAAUAUUCAUUCAAGUUUAAAGAUGCAUCUUCGAAUACACAUUUGUAUCACCUUAUGACGCACUAAAUGAGCGACACCCUAAAGUAAAAUAAAAUCUUAUUCCAAAGAUACAUCUCUGAGUAUUUUGAACAAAUAUAUUGAUAUUUAAGCAAGCGUCCUCAGCAUGACCAGAUACCUGUAUCAUACACUCAGUUGCUGUCGUAUCUUGUCCAGUAAGGGGCAAUUGCGCCAAAAGAGAUUCCGCAUGCAACUCCUCCCUAAAAUCACAAGCAUAAUCCUAAUGUGCCUUGUUCAUUUCAUGUCGGAUACAUAGGGCAUUCUAUAGAGGAUUAUUUGGUCCUCAAGGCCAUAAUGCAAGAGUUAAUUGACCAUAAGGUUUUGUCAUUCUUUGACGCAUGACCCAAUGUCAUAAACAACCCGUUGCCAGACCACUGUGGACAAAUAGUGAAUGCAGUUAGUGGCGAAGAUUGCUCAGAUUCAGUUGCUUCUUCAGAGGAGUAUCGAUGCUAGCAAUAUCAUAUUGAUUCAAUCAUGUAUCAUUUGUAAUCCUUUCUUGUUUUUUAAAUGUUGUUCAUUUGUAACUUGUCUGGUUUUUCAGAUGAUAAUAAUAAUGAAAUAAACGUGCAUGUUUUGCUUAAAUCCAUUCGUGUCCACUCAUAUUUUAUUUUAUCAGUAUCAAACUGUUUGUCGAACAAAAUCAAAAGAGAAUGAUGCAAUUAAAAAUACGCAAGAUCGCUGCCUGUAUGGUUUUGAAUAAGAUCGUGCUGAUGAUGUAAGGCAUUGUUCAAUCCCUAAACACCGGAGAUAUAAGGAAGAUAAUCCCUAGUCAACCCCUUUGGGUAUUGUAAUAGGAGUUUCUUUCUUGAACACAUAAAACCCUCAUGCUUAACCAGGGGCAGAGUAUUCUUCAGUUAGUUUAGACUUGCAUUCAAAUUUAAGAAGGACAAUAUCUCAUCCAGUGAUCAAUCAUAUCAUAUCCCUCUCAAGAGGAUGGAAUCAUAAAUCCAGGAUGGUUAUCCCUUACCCAUCAAAAAGAGUGAGAUAAUCACGACUCGUGCAACAAAUCGAGAAAGCUGUGUCACAAGGUUUUCUCUAGUACAAAAAUAAAAGAUGAAACAAAAUUAAAAGCCCGCUAAGUCAAAAGCUUGAAAACAAGAUUGACUUAGGCAAAAGUCAGGGUAUCCCGGUGGGAUGCAGACCCAAAGGAUCAGCCUAGGAAAAAAUAAGGGUAAACAAAACAAAAGAAUUAGAGGAUCAAUACCAAAAUUCGUAGCGAGAGCAAAUCCCUGUGACUAUAAACAAAAGCAGAAGGCGAGUGGCUAUCGCUCUAAAUUCUCGUGGAUUCCUUAAACCAUCAUUGUUGAUAUUCAAAAUCCUUUCUGAAAGACGAACGCUUAUUUUAAGCUAAUUGAAUAUAGAACUAGAUAACAUCACACAGAAUGGGUGGGUUAGAAUAGGUUUUGAGCCUUAUAUCCUUUCUUUCUGAAACCGUGAACUAGGCCAAGUUACAACCCUCAAAAGACCUAAUUGAAGUAGGGUUUAUUUCAAAAGCAUACUAUGGUAAGAUCGCGUUAAGCUGACUCCUUAAGAUUUUCUUGUCAUAUGUUUGAUACUGAUAUGGCAUUCUAAACAGUGAUUUGUUCACUAGAUGUCAUAAUCUUAGUGAACACACUUGAGUUUUCAAAACUUGCAUGAGCAUGACAUUACAAUUAUCAUUUUAAAAAUGAGCGUUUUACAUGCGAACAUGCAUUUGACACCAAGGAAGCUUACAAUGGGAAAGUUGAUCAAAUUCCUAAUAUCCCAUAGCUCAAAUCUCUUCAAGAGCCCGUCAAUCUAAGGCACCAUGCCAAGAUUUUGCAAAUCUCUCUGAAUCAGCUGUAUAAGGGAAAAGUUUAAUUCGAAGUUCAUAUUGGGGAAGGCCACCUCAAGAGCAUGAGAAGUCAAUCACUCCUAAGAUAAUUAACUAGGAGGAUAUAGUUUCAAGAUGCUGGGGCAAGCCAGUUUGAGAUACUCAGAUGACGAGAUCACUCUAAUUUGUAAUUGGAGAAAUUGGUGCAGAUAUCCAAUACAUUGGGGCAGAGGCAGGCUACGCAGGUACAAGCUCUCUCCAUGUUCUAGACAUAAUCCAGAGGUGUGACAACAAUUUUUCAGCUUGAAGUAGGUUCGAAGAAUCACGUCUGGAGGAUACCAUAUCCUAGCCAAAAAUUUCCACCUCCCUCUAUAUGAGCACCUGGAUUAACCAUUGCAUAAAUCAUUAUCAUGAAUAAAUCACGUCGCUUCACUCAUGCAUACCAUUCAUCUAUCAUAGCAUGAAGCCGUGUGUGAGAAUCAAAGGAAUUAAAGCCCAGUAUUUUAUUGGCAUCUCCAAAUUCCAAACUUGCCUGGUACCUUUUUAAACCAUCUAGUUUGACAAUUCUUCCAAAAUCCAAUUUGCUUGGCGUCUUUUAAGCCCAGUUUGCUUGGUAUCUUUUUUCGACCUUUAGGGUCGAUGAUCCUCUUUUCCAACAUUCAUGGUUGAGGAACCUUUUUUCAAUCUUCAGGAUUGAUAACCUUUUUCCAAUCUUUAGGGUUGACGAUCUUUGUUUCUAACCUUCAUGGUUGUUGAAUCUUUUUCCCACCAUUAGGGUGAUGAUAGACUUUGUUUCCGGCCUUUAAGGUUGAUGAUCCUCUUGCUUUCAACCUUUGCGGUUGUUGAAUCUUCUUCCAACCAUCAUGGUUGUUGAAUCUUUUUCCUACCUUUGUGGUUGUUGAAAAUUUUUCCAAACCUUCUUGGUUGAUGAACUUUUUCAAUCUAUGUGAUUGACAAACUUUUUUCCAAACUGUAAGGUUGAUGACCUUUCUUUUUUUCAAACCUCUGUGUUUGACUUUGUUUCCAGUUUUUGAACUGAUGAUUCAUUUGUGAAACCCCUUGUUUGCAAGAAUAUUUUGGAACUUUCAUGCGCUCUUUGAUUAGCAUACAUGGCCACAUGUUUCAAAAAUGAUAAAAAAAAAUACAAUUUAGCAUGCAUAUCAUGAUCGUCAUUUGCCAUUAAUAUCCCCACAGUACAUCAAAAUCACCAGCAAAUAAACCCGUAAAAAAUCAAGUUGAUAUCCCUAUAUCUCAUACAAUUGUCCUUCAAGGAAAAAAAUUCGGAUACUUCGAUAUUUAAUCCACGCAUACCUUAAAAAGCUGAAAAGCUCUCGCAAUUCGACCAUUCAGGUCUAAGCUGAUUAAAUAGGGGCAGAUGUCGUAUCCUAAAUUUGUCCUCCCUAUUUCAUCUUUCCACUCAAUUUAUCAACUUGAGAUUCAUCUGUACCACAUUCAUAUUUCAUUCAUAUGCAUCAUUCAUUAAUCAUACAUUCAAAGCUUGUGGCCUGCAAAUCUAAGGUUUGUUGAUGGGACAUGGCUCUUCAUAGGCUCAUCAUGUGAGGGGAAACCCUAAUUUCAUACUCUUUUAGACUUUGAUUCAAAAAGGUUACAAUCACGACAUUCAUUUAGUCAUUCAAACCCUUAUUCCUGACUUUGUUGUCUUUCGGUCUCACAAGCUUUCACCUGUGUAUCAUGAAGCCCUAAUCAGGGAAGAUUUGGUCCGGUUGCACCUUAUGGCUUGACUUUUCAUCUUGUGUGUGCUGGAAACCCUAAUUCAUUAGGGAGAGGUGUUUGACUAUCCUAUUAUGCAUGCCUACUGGUUUGGAAUUGCACAUGAUUCAGGUCUUGUUUCAAGCAUCCCUAUGCCCAUCACAUUUAACUUUGCAUAGGCCAUUAACUCAAGUCUUUUGGUAUGGGCAAAUGCAUAGACCCAUAUGCCCGAUUCACUUCAUUCAUAUGAUGCAGAUGAUCAAGGAUGAUUGGUCCAUUUAAGAUUUGGUUCCAUUGGUUCAUUCUUUGUUUCUUAAGCAAAAUCAUUAUUUCAUUUGAAUUAUGUCAUGUGAAAACCCUAAUUCAAAUUUCACAGUUGACUUCGAUUAACUAGUUUACCAAAGUCAACCAUCCCUUUUUGAGUCCAUUAAACUUUUUCAUUAAUCAUUCACACUUAAUCACAUUUUUCGAGCUAUUUGAUGCAUCCAAUUCAUUCAAUUUUCAAAUGUAAUUUUGACCAUUCCAAACAUUUUAACCAUUCAAGGUUAACAAUUUAAGUUCUAUAAACCAUCUUCUUUUACAAUAUAUUUCCACUCAUAAACUUUCCAUAAGCAUUCAAAAUUUUCCAUCAUAAAUAUCAUUCAAUACAAUAAACUUGUCCAUGGUUCGCGCAUUUAAUCCUUUCUUUCCAUCAUUUAUUUGCAUUGCAAUUCUAUUCAUCCAAAGUAUCAAACUUUUCAUAAUCACCAAGUUCCAUUCCAAUACAUUCAAGUUUUACCUACAACUUUCCUUUACAAUUAUUACAAACCAUUGUUUUACAUUGUUACACUAUGUAUCAACCAUAUCCUACAUAACCAUAUUAACCAUUCCAAAUGAUCAAGCAAGAUAGAAUUUCAUUCACUAACCAUACAAGAUAUCUCAAGCAUACAUUUCCAUUUCAAGCUACAUUAUAAUGCAUCAUAAUCCAACAAUAUCAUGAAGCAGCCCAUGGCCUCUUAUGCAUUCACUAGAAAUAUUUCCAUAGCACAAAUUGGCCAUGUCCCAAAAGAUAAUGCACAAAAAAAGCAUGAAAUAUCAUGAUUCUGUUAGGCUCUGUUUUGAAAUUAUUUACCUGAUGAACAACAGACAUAAAUGCCGAUCGAGGUUAUAUGGAAGCUUCAAAUACUGAAAAAGAAAACACACCCAUUGCAUUGAUGGCUACAGCUCUUCCUUUGAAACGCCAUUGAAGCUUCAAUUCGUGGAGCUUAAACCACUGCACCUCUUCGACCUCACGCGGAAAACGCAACAACAGCAUAUGCUUAGAAGAACAGAGGGAGAGGAAUAAGAUUGCAGCAACAUAACAGAAAGAGUGAAGGAACAAAAUUGAGACGAAGAAAAAGGGAAGAGAUCGGUCAAUACCUGUUCGCAGUUGAAGCAUCAAAUUUGGUAAGUCCUUUUGAUUUUCUUUUCUUUCUGUUUAAGUCCGCGAGCACAAUGUUGGAUGGAAUCACAUGUCGAUGAGGUUGAACACAAUCCAUGAACUCUAUUAUCUGUUAGAAUUAGAAUAUUAGGUUAUUAAGUGACAAUUAGAAAUUGUGAUUUAAUUAGAAUUCUAGUAUUGAUAGAUUUUGGAUUUUCAUUAGAAUUAAUUAGAAAUUUUAGAAUUUAACUAGGGUUUUAGAAUCUAUUUUAGACUAAUUAGAUUUUCACAUAAUUAUAUAUAAUUAUAAUUAAUUAGUUUUUGAUUAAAUGUUGAUUAUUAGAAACUAUUUUCCUAAUUAAUCCAUUUAUGCAUAUUGACUAUUUUACCCUUUAGAGGUUAUGUUUGUCAUUUUAGCCAUAAGGACAUGUUCCUUUAGGUUUAGAUCUUGACAUCAAUUUUUAAUCAAGUCUUGACCAAUUAUAUCAUGAUCCCUUAGGAUAGUUUGUAACAAAUUCUAACCAUUAGAUUAGGAUUUAAUCUAGUUUUCAAACUAAUUCAAACCUUCUGAUUCAAAUUGAUCAAAAGCAAUUUUGAUCAAUUAAAUCAUUUGAUAUUGUAUAAUCCCACAGUCUAAUUUGAGUGACACAAAUACUCUUGGUCACCUAAUGAGACUUUUUCGGUAAGUUGUGGAGCUCGAGGCCUCAAGUCAUAUUUUCAAUCAAGGCAUCAUCGGUCAGACCAAGCAGUGGAUAAUACAAGGUACAUCAAAGGUGGCAUCUUUGAGAGCUUGUCAAAUCAAAGUUAUGAUUGUGUGGCAUGAGCCUUGAGUAAUGAAGAAAGAAUGAGACUGAAGAAUUCCUACCCCCAUCAACACAAAGGGCAUCAUGUCAGCAACUUGUUAAUUUUGAUUCAAGUUGCAUGCCAUGAGCCUUAAGAAACAAAGAAUGAUGAGAGUGGGGAAUUCCUAUCCUUGUCUAGAAUAUUCUUGGGUACGGGACGAAUGACCCAGUUGCUCAAAGUAUUCGCCUUUUUCCAUAGACUUUGGUGCAAUUUAAAUCAUGCAAUUGACAAGCCUUCUUCUUCAAGCAAGCAUCAAUCAUUCAACACUUCAAUAGUGAAACACCAUUACCCCCUUUAGUAUUGGACUUUCCUCCUGGAUGUUCAUACAUUUCUUGGGAUUAUUACCUUGGGGUCACAUACCCAUCUCGCAAUCAAUUGCUUCAUGCAUUGCCUAUCAGUUCACACUAUGGCAUACUUCAUUGCUUGCCCUCAACGUACAGACCCUGACAUUCAGCCUAUGGAGUACAUACUCUGGCUUUGUUUCUUCCCCAUAAGGUACAGACCUUGGCAACUUCUUGCAGCCCAUAGAGUAUAGACUCUGGCUUUAUUCCUUGCCUACAACAUACCGAUCUUGGCAUCCUUGCCCUAAUGAGUUCAGACUCUGGCCAUCUGAUUUUGUCUAUACAGUACUGACUUUGACAUAUUAUUAUGCCUUAUAGUUAAGACUUUGGAAUUCAUUCAUCCAGCCCAUUGGGUUCAGACUUUGGCAUCGUACUAUUUUGCCCUUAUGGAGUUCAGACUCUGGCAUUCAAAUCAGUUCAUUUGCCUUAUAUAGUUCAGACUAUGGCAUGCUUAUACAUCUUGCCCAUGGAGUUCAGACUCUGGCAACCUUUAACAUUGUCUUGAAGUCAGACUUUAGAAUUAUAUCUCCUUUUCCCUUAUUGAGUUCAGACUCUGAGAAUCUGUUCCUUGCCUUUGUAUUAGUUCAGACUAUGGAAUUCAUCUAUCUUGCCUUGUGGAGUUCAGACUCUGGCUAUAUCUCAUUUGUCCUUAUGGUUGAUUACCAUCUUUGGUAAGUGUCAUACUCUCGCUUAUUAAGCAAUCACCUUGCCUCUGAGCAAUCCUAUCAAAUCUCCCUUUGCUUUCAGUUGUAGUAGGCUAAACUACGAUUGCUCUGAUUUUCUCAUUGCACGAUGAGAAUACAUAGGCACAAGGGUUCAAAUCCUCCGUGAGCAUACUUAUUUAUUACUCCUACCUUAGGGCAUUUCUCCAUCCAUCUCCAUGAUACAGUCAUAUACUACCUUUAUUCACUUCAUGUGAUAUACCCUAUUCUUUGAGCCAAAUACAUUAUACCUUUGUGCUCCAUCUUGUACCCCUUUGUGAACCAAGAGAUGUUUCUGUUGUGAAACCAAAAUUAAUUUCCUUUGUUUUCGGCUAUACCAUAUAGUGGCGAAUGUUCAGACAAUCCAUAUAUCGGUUUAUUCCAGUUUUACUCUUGGGUUCACGCUUUCACCCCUUGUUGGGGUUCAAAAUAUUAUCCUCUGGUUCAGGCCAUACCUUGAUCACAACUUCCUUUUCAUCUCCCACCACUAGUUCUUUGAACUACGAAGUUAUGAAUUCCUCAUUGCACUAUGAGUAUACAUAGGCAUGAGGGCCCUAAUCCUCACCGAGCACUCUAUCUAUUUCUUUUCAUUUUCCCCAUUCUUUUGCGAGUAAUCUUUAGAUACAACACUCAUUCGAGCGAGAACAAUCAAAACGGUUCCCAUGGAGUACCAUAGAUGUUAGGGAUGCUAAUACCUUCCCAUUGCAUAAUCAACUUCCUUACCCAACAUAUCUCUUUCCCCUGGGUUUUAUCGAUGUGUUCGGGUAUAUUUCCGCUAGCUGCAUCACCAACUCCAAAAUCUCAAAAAAGUGUUUUUAAAGGAACUCGCAUUAGCAAACCACCUCCUUCACCGUCUCUACCAAAAAUUUCAUUCAUUGACGAGAUGUUAUUUUUUUCAUAAAUACAUCGAACAAAUCGUCAAUGUUGAGGGUGACGGUAAUUGCGAUUUUCGAGCUAUUUCGAUUUUGCUGGGUAAAGGAGAAGAUGAUCACACACUUGUCUGCCAUCAACUUAUCCAUGGUUGAGGACCCAUAUAGAAUUAUACACACGACUUUACCGAAAGAAACAAAAUUUUGAUGCAAUUUAUGAGUCUUUUAUUCCUUGCAUUAGUGGUCCGAAACCAGAGGAAAAAUGAAUGUGCUUCCCUGAAAUGAGUCAUCUCAUAGCAAGUGCAUCUGAUAAAGUGUGUAUUGGUCUUACAAGAUACGAUUUUUUGGAAACUUUUUUUCCACUGCGCACCACCCAACCUCAAAAUCUAAAUGAUCGUAUUUUGUGUAUUAGAAUACCUUUAAAAUUACGACACUUUGUUCAAAUUUAUUUGAAACGGGAUGUCGUAUACCACUUACAUCAGUGGAGUGGACAACUCAUUCAACAAUAAAAUCCGGGACUUAGACGGGCCAAUUUAUGGAAAAGAUGCAAGAGUUUACCAAAUUGAGCGACAUUGAAAGUGAAUAUAAUGCACAAAAGUCAAAGGGGGAACCACUCAUACUUAUAAAUUUAGCCAUCGACAAAUAUUUCGAUUCGUUUUAGUUUUUCGUUAUCAAUUAAUUGUAUAUAAUUUUGUAUUAAUAGUAAGGGUUAAUAACAUUUUUAUAGAAACAUUCUAGUUGUACCUUGGGGGGAAUGACCCAUGAUUGAUGCUUACGUGUCAUGAUAAAUAUCAUGAUAUAUUUUAGUUUUUAGUUUUUUAAUUACAUAUAUGCUUACGUGGACUUACAGUUUUUUAUUUAUGAAUUAUUUCUAUUUUCAUGUGAAAAUUUAUUUUCUUUUUCAUUUAUUUUAAUCAUAACAAUUAUCAAAACUACUUUAAGAAAGUUCUAAAAUUUUGUCAACAAUGAAAUUCUCAUACGGAUUUGGCAAGGAACUUUGAAAGGAGAUUUGAAAGCGUGAACCACAACCAUAGAUAGGAAGAAGGAGAAUUAGGGUUCAACAUAGUUUGAACCGUGUUUAUGUUUAUGUUAGGGACCGAUUCGGGCUAGACCCAAUCUAGGUUCGGUUGAUCCACUAACCAUUAGUUUUUUUUUUAAAUUAUUUUGUGAGUAUACCAUUUGUUGUUUGGCCUUACCUAUUUGUGACUUGGGCAAACCCCACUUUAGGAGCCAUCUUGUCUUAUUUAUUUAUUUAUUUUUGUCUUUUCCUCAACCUUUUUUAUUGCAUUAAUAUUUUAGUAAAAGAAUAUAUAAAAAACAUAAACUUUUUCAUGAAAAAAAAGGUGGUUUACAAUUUUAUAAUAAUUGAUUUUUAUUGUUAUUUCAAUUUUUUUAUCAAUAAAUAAAUAAAAGUAGACAAAAUUUGUUUGAUGCGUGCCUUAGGGUUUCUUUUUCCUAUCAAGCUAUAUCUCAAAAGAAGAAUAUUUCUUUAAGAAUUAUUCCUUUUUUUAAAAAUAAAUUUGAUUCCAUUAUGGUUUGAUUUGUUUGAUCUUUAUUGAUUGUGUGAAUGCUUGUAUUGUUCAUACUUGAUCCAUGAUUUAUGUAACCUUUCACUUAGACCUUCGAUUGUUAGUAAGAUAAAAGUAAAUGUGCAAUAAAAUCAACCUUUUAAAAUAAGAUUCAAACACUCUAUCGAUAUGAAUUUGGUUUUAAAAAGAUCUCACUAUUUUCACCAUCCAUUCAAAGUUAAUUUCAAGUCAUCUCACAAAUUAUUUUCAUGCUAACACGAAUAAACCCUCGAUCAACAUCGAGUUUCUUUUUUGCUUAUUAAAAACUUGAAAAUCAUUUUCAUAAUAAAUCAGUUGAAAAAGGAAUGGGAGGCGCACACAUCUCUACUCCUCGAAUAAGUGAGUGAUUGGUAGACUCCAUAUUGCUCUAACUUUCAUCUUCCGAAUAAAAUAUCCUAAAUAAACAUGGAUGAAAAAGGAAGAGAGGCGCACACAUCUCUACUCCUCGAAUAAGCAAGUGGAAGACACACACCUCGCUACUGCGAAUAUUUUUUCUUCCGCAAAUAAUUUUCAAAAUAUUAAAAUCAAACAAAAAAGGAAUGGGAGGCGCACAACUUGUUGCUCCUCGAAUAAGUGAGUGAUUGGUGCGCGCCAUAUUGCUCGAGCUUUCAUCGUCUUCCUACAAAACACUAAACCAAUCAAACCUAUUUUCUCGCCCCCUUCGUUCAUCCCAAGACGAUGUAAACACGCUUCAUUUCUACCAUGCGCAAGAAGUUAUAACUCUUUUCGCUCGAAUGUGACGAGAACAAAUUUGUGAGAAUCUGGAUUAUGUUAUUCAUUCUAAUGUGAUGCCAAUGUUCACUUCUCCAUGUUUUUAGUAGCAAAUAAUGUUUUCGCUCGAAUGCGACUAAGUACCUUUCGUAAAAACUGAUCAACAAACAAAAAAUUUCUACCCAGAACUACGUAGCCUUGAGUUUUUCAUCGCACCUGAGAUAUGUAGAAGCGAGACCCGUAAUCUCGUCAGGCACAUUAAUAAAAGAAAACAUUUUGCGACCCAUUUUGUUUUCUCUUUACACUUUUGACCACUCGAAGAAAACAUAUGACAUAAGCUAAAAUUUCAACCACAAAUCUAACUAAAUGGUUCCCGUUGAGUGUAACAGAUGUGAGGGGUGUUAAUCCCUUCCCCUCGCAUAAUCGACUCCCAAACCUGAAUUUGAUUGUGACAAACAUUUUCUUUUUCUUUUAAGGAUUUUAUCAAUAUUUCCCCUCCUUUUUGGAAUAAAUCAAUUUUGAUGGUGACUCUGUUAUCUUGACCAUGCAAGCGCUCAUGGUCAUUUUUCGCGUCGCGACACUACUGUACAAUAGUUAUCUGUAUCAAAAACUAAAAUAUUUGUGUCUGUAUCUUGUUGUCUAGGAUUGUUGGAAACGAGAAGGAUGGAAAAAUAAAGUGUGUUUAUUUUUCUAUGUUGUAAAAUCACAAGGUGGUUUUUCUUGGUGAUUAAGUUAGAAUCUUGUGUAUAGAAUCUAGGUUUAGGCUUGUACAAAAUAAUAACAAUAUUGAAAUCUCUUAUAGUGUCUAAGGGGACUGACAUACUCUCAGAUUGUGAUGGGAACUAGUAUGAUUUUCGAUGUUAUUUACUUUAUGCACUUUACUGCUUUCACCACCUAACCAUAAACCAAAAAAUAAAGAAACAUUCAUCUCUAAAAACAAUGUACUUACAGCGAGAGCAUGAUAUUCCGCUUCAGUACAUGAACAAGACACAAAAUUUUGUUUCUUUAAGCGCUAUGAAAUCAAGGAGUUACCCCAUAACACAUAAAUGCUAGUGUAUAUUUCCUAGUAUCCAGACAACGUGCCCAGUCGAAGUCAGCAAAACCAUGCAGCUUUAAGGAAUUAUUGCUGGCAAAAAAAUGCCUCGAGUAGGAAAUGCCUUCAGAUACUUCAAAACUCGAGUGGCUUCCUAACGGUGAGGAACCAAGGGGUUAGCCACAUAUUGGCUAAGGUGACGGACAAUAAAAGAAAUACUUGGCCGUGUGUUUGUAAGGUAAAGUAGCCUGCUAAUUAAUUUACAAUAUGAAGAAGGGUCCUCUAAAGGAGUACCUUCACUAGAUGAGAGCUUCAUGUGAGGAUCAAUAGGUGUGGAGACAAGCUAAGCCCCAAGAAAACCAGUGUCCUCAAGCAGCUAGAGCAUGUAUGUUCUCUGGCUGAGAAAGAUACCAGAAGUAGAACGUGCAAUUUUGAGGCCCAAGAAGUACCUUAGUUGACUGAGAUCUUUAAUGCAAAAUUGUUGAUGCAGGAAAGACUUUACUUGUUUAUUCCACAAUCGAGUCGCUUGUCAAGACAAUAUCAUCAAUGCACACUGAUAAGGAAGUGAAACCAUGAGGUGUGAUCUUGGUGUAUAAUGAGUGACCAACAACAGAUUGAGAGUAGCCUAAUGAAAUGAGAGCUGAAGAAAGCUUAGAAUGCCAUUGUCGACUGACCUGUUUCAGUCCAUACAAUGAUUUUUUUAAGUGUACAAACCUUGUUGGAUUCAAGAUUACCAUAGCCAAGAGGAAGAGACAUAUAUACUUCUUUAUUUAGGUCUCCAUGAAGGAAGGAGUUUUUAACGUCCAGUUGCUCAAGGUGCCAGUGUUUGACAGCUGCAAGAGAUAAAAGAACACGAACAAUAGUAAUUUUGGCAAUUGGGAAAAAAGUAUCAAAGUAAACUACAUGUUCUAAUUGAGUGUAACCCUUGGCUACCAACCGGUCCUUGCAUAUAUCAAUAGAGCCAUUGGCAUGGUACUUGACUUUGUAUAUCCAUUUACAACCAACUGGAGUUUUGCCUAGAGGAAGGUCCACAAUGGUCCAAGUUUGAUUGUCCUUAAGAGAUGCAAUUUCAGUAUCCAUGGCCUACUUCCAACAGUCAUGUUUAGAGGUAUGAAGAUAGGUUUUUGGUUUAAAUAUGGAUGAAAUAGAGCAACAAAAGGAUUUGUAAGUUGGAGAGCAUUUUUUAUAUGAUAUAAAGUUGGAGAUAUGGAAGGUAGUGGAAGAGGAGUUAUUUAUAGAGGCAUAUCUAUUUGAUGAAAGAAAGAGAUUACAAUAAUAGUCUUUGAGAAAACUAUGAGGGUGUUUGGUUCUCAUUGAUUUUUGAGUUAGUAGUGUGGAUUGGUUUUGGGGAAUGUCUGAGGGAGGGUUAGAAUUAUGUGGAUACAUGUUAUCAACUAAGGUAUCAUGAAGGAUGUUGGGUUCAAAGUCAAUAACACUAGGAUCUUGGGUACUUGGUGAUGGAUUAAAAGUAGUUUGAUAUGGACUUGAGGUACUAGAGUCAAUCAAAGUAGGUUGAUUGAGACUUGGAAGGUUAGGGAUAAGUCCUGUUUCAGAAGUAAUAGGAUAAUCAUAAGAAUUUGUGACUGGUGUGACAACAGUAGAAGGAGUGGACAUAUGAGGCUCAGGGGUCAGAGUGAGGGCCUGAGGUGUAACAUAGUCAAUGUCAUAGGUGAUGUCCAUCAAGCUAUGAAUAUAAGUAGGGAGAUUUGUGGCAUUACUUUUGAAUGGAAAGGUGGUUUCAUAAAAGAAAACAUUUAGAGAUAUGAAUAAGUUAUGAGACUGAAGGUCAUAGAGAAUAUAACCUUUAGUACCAUCUUUGAAACCAAGGAGAAUGGCUUUUCUAGCCCUACCAUUGAAUUUUGUUAUGUGGGUCUGUAAAGUUGUUGAAAAACAUAAACAAACAAAGACUUUCAAAUGAACAAUAAUAUAUUAAGUUUUGAAAAAGCAACUCGUAUGGAGAUUUUGACUGAAGUUGAGGACUAGGGAUCCUAUUAGUCUUGUGGACAACAUGUUGAAUACUGAAGUUCCAUAGGUUUAAAGGAAUAUGUGUUAAUGUUUUCUCUCAACCACCCCAUUUUGCUGUUUUUGUUAUAGUGGUGGUGGUGGUGUGUGUGUGGCGGGGGGGGGGGUGUUCUACACAAGAUUUAUGGCGACUUAUGCCUUUGGAAGGGAAAAAGGAACUAAGAGUUAGGAACUUUGAACCCUUAUAUGACCUAAAGCAUUUAAGAGUGGUUUUGAAUUUAUUUCCUAUUGAGGCAAUAAAAUGUAUUACACUUUGUUUUGUUUCAGAUUUUUCCUUAAUAAAAUGACCCAUGUAAACCUUGAAAAUCCAUCAAUAAGAGUUAAGAAAUAUUUAUAGCCUAAAAUAGAAUCAGUAGAAAAGGGCCCCCAUAAAUCAACAUGUAAAAGUUCAAAUGGAGCAUGAGUAUGAGUAAGACUAUUUAGAAAGGGGAAUUUCUUUUGUUUUGCAAAAUGAAACGAAUCACAAGGGUUCAUGUUAUUUUUACAAGGGAUGGGGGGAAAAUGUUUAGCCAUAGUUUUCAUACUGAAAUUAGAAAGGUGGCCUAGUCUUAGAUGCCAAAGUUCAAAGGAAUUAGAAAUAACAUAAUUACUAGUGGAAUAAACAUCACUAAUAUCUAUCACAUAGAGGCCUCUGUGCCAUUUAGUUGUACCAAGCAUUUGCUUUGGAUGGUUCUGCAAAAUAUGACACAAGUUUGAAGAAAAUUUCAGAUAGCAAUCAAUAUUGCUAGUCAAUUUUGUGACUAAGAUUAAAUUAACAUGAAAGUUAGGAAUAUAGUGAAAAUUGUAAAGAGUUAAGGAAAGGGAAAUGACAAUGUUUCUAGAUAUGCAGGCAGUCAUGUGAGAUUCAUUUGGUAAGGAGAUUAAGCUAUUGAUUAACUUAACUCACAAAGAAAGAGUCGCCACAACGCUUUUAUUAUUUCCAAAGAAAAUAGAAAAAGAACGAACCAAACCCAAAGAAGUUUAAAAAAAACUAAUAAAAACAAAGAUAAGGGUCCAGGGGUUGGUUAUGUACAGGGAAGAUACUAGCACCCUAAGCAUCUAUAGUACUCUACAGGAACAUCUUUGAAAAUAUGUGCAUUUAGAUUUAAAAUGGUGUUGUUUACAAAAGAUUAGGGAGAUGAAAAGAGAUUUUUUUUUUAUAAUUUUUGUGUUUGCCAAGACUUUCUGAACCUCGUGCCUACGUACCCAUAAAGUGCAAUGGCGAAUCAAAACCUCGUAGUUCGUGGUAAAAAUAACAAAGAUGUUUGCUUUGAUUCAUUUUUAAUGAAUUUUUUUUUGUCAUUUUAAGAAGAACAUUCAACUAGCCAUCCACAAGUAUGGGAACUUUGCAUCACCAUGAGAAGGACUCUAACUUGGAUAAAUAUCAACUAGCUCUCUUAUAUAGAAAAGAAUUAUUAUCAAUACUAUGGGGAUAGAAAAAUUAUAUAUCAACUAUGGAAAUGACUCGUGUCUAAACUUUGAGAAAAAAGUUUUAAAAAGGAAAAAAAAAAGUGCACAAAGGGCACAAAAAGGUUUGAAUGAGUUAUGCAUUUUUAGUUUUUUGAAAUUGGUUUGAAUAUGAUUAAGAUGUAUUAGAAUUUAUUAAUAAAAGAUUUUGAAAAGAAAUCACUUGAAAAAAGUCAAGGUUUAUUGAGGAAGUAGUUCAAGUUUGAAAACAAGAAUGUUUUGAAAAAAAGAGAGAAGAUUUUGAAAAUCAAAGAAGGGGAGGAGAGGAAGAGAUUAUCCUAGAACAUAAAGUAAAAGCUAUGGAGGAAAGAUCCAACCAAGAGAUAACAACAAGAAUUCACUCCUUUGGAUUAAGCCUUAAGCAAGUCAAAUAAGCAAAGAAUAUUCCAUGUAUCAGAUGAAACCAAAGUAGCCAAGCAAAAUCUUCAAAAGAAUCUCAAAGUCAAAGGUAGCAGAUGAAUCUCAAGGUCUCAAAUCAGAAACUCCCAAAAGAUAAACAAGUAUGCCACUAGUUCUCUUAGAUGGAAAAUAAUUAUCAUCAAUACUAUGGGUAUAGAAUAAUUACAUCUCAACUAUGGAAAUGACUCAUGUCUAAACUUUGAGAAAAAGUUUUAAAAGAAAAAGUGCACAAAGGGCACAAAAUAGUUUGAAUGAGUAAUGUAUUUUUUAAGUCUUUUGAAAUUGGUUUAAAUGUGCUUAAUAUUUAUUAGCAUUUAUUAAGAAAAUAUUUUGAAAAUCACUUGACAAAAGUCAAGGUUUAUUGAGAAAGUGAUUCAAGUUUGAAAACAAGAAGGUUCUUGAAAAAAAAAGAGAAGAUUUUGAAAAUUAAAGAAGGGGAGGAGCUAAGAAGAUUAUCCUAAAACAUAAAGUAAAAGUUAGGGUGAAAAAUCUAACUAAGAGAUAGCAAGCUUUAUGACAUGUGUUAAGUAAGAACACUCUCCUUUGGAUUAAGCUUCAAGCAAGUCAAACAAGCAAAGAAAAAUCCAUGUGUCAGAUGAAACCAAAGUAACCAAGGAAAUUAUUUAAAGUAAUCCCAAAGUCAAAGGUACCAGAUGAAUCCCAAGGUCUCAAACUAUAAACUCCCAAACAAGGGUCAAAAUUCUAGUUCUAACUCCGUAACUCCAUAAUAAUCCCAAUGAUAGUAACCUCAAGUCCAUGAAUUAAGAGAACCAAUUUUUAGGGGUUUUUUCCUUUAUUAAUGUAUUUAAAAGAAAAAGAAGUCUAAAUGGACAAAGAAAAAAAGGCAUAAACAUAAACAAAGGUCCAAGUGGACAAAUAGAAAAUAGCAUAAAUACAAACAAUAUGAUAUGCGAUGCUAAAAUAAAAUCAUAAAGUUAAUAACAAGAAAUAAAUGGCAAAAAAAUAAAGAGCAUAAGAUAAAUGGCAUUAAAGUAAAUUUAAUAUAAUAAUAUGUUAGUAAGUUGUGUUAGUAAUAAAAAAUUGAAAGAUAAUUUAUCAUUUUUGGGAGAAUACUCAACUAUUCGCCCACAAGUAUGAAAAUGUGGACCUCUACAUCACCAUGAGAAAGACUCCAACUUGGAUAAAAUCAAUAAGUAUGCCACUAGUUUUAUUAGGUGAAAAGGAAACAAUAUUUUUCACACAAUACCAUGGGGAGUAGGAGACUUACAAUCUCACUUAUGAAAAUGACUUACUUUCGGAUUCAGGAUAAAUUUAACGUUAUGUUAAGCAAUCGUAAUUGGACUCAUGUUGAAGUCACAACUAUCUGAGCCCGGUCAAUAAUAAUAUUUAUGUUAAUACAUGCUAGAGAAAUUAUAUGUAAAUCAUUCUCCUAAAGAUAUGCCACACAAAAAAAGGAUGGAUCAAGCACAAAUGUUAAGAGAGUUGUUCAUUACAUCAAUCAAUACUUCAUGAUACUUAGGACAAGCUUAUGCAUCAAUCUAAAGUACCUUAAAUAUUCUAUGAUCAAUUAGGAGGUAGAUUUGAAGUGAUGAAAGUUCAUCAAGUACCAAUUCAUACAUCAUAAACAAGAUGAACACAAACCAUCCAAUUGAUCAAGAGAAAAAAGGAAGCGAAAGAGAUUAAGAAGAAGAAGAAGACGAGAGAAACCAAACUCAAAUUGGAUCAAAGGAUUGAUCAAGUCAUCAUCAAAAUCAAUCAUCCAUCUUGGUAGAUUUGGGUUUUCACCCCAUCAACACCGAAGAUCCAUUGAAUUUGAUGAGAUUUAUGAUCAAAAUAGCCAAGAUCCAAGGUCAACAGAAGUCAACAAAGGUCAAACAAGCAUAAAAUGAAAGAAAAUAAAAUAAAAUGCAUCAAAAAUAUUUUUUAAAUGAAUUUUAAAAGGCAAAUAAAACAAAAAAUUCCAUAAAACCCUUUAAAAUACCAAAUAAAUGGCCAAGAAAAUUAUGGAAGGUUGAAGAUAAAAUAAGGAACAUAAAAUAAAUUUUUCAAAUAUUUUUAAUGCAUAAAAGUAUUUUUAAACUAAUUAAAAAAAGGGGAAAAAGAGGAAAUCCAAGAAAAUAAAAUAUGGAAAAAUAAAAAUCAGAUGAAGAAAAAAAAAAGAAAAUUUUAGAAAAUAUUUUGGGAUUUUUUGGAUAAAAAAUGAAUUUUCUAUAAAUUUUUAAAGAAAAUGCAAUUUAAAAUAAAAAAUAAAAAGAAAUAAAAAACAGAAAAAAAUAGAGGCAUUGGAUCUGACCUCAUUAAUUGACGUGGCAAAUCCAACAACUAUCAGGCUAGGGCGCAUGGUGGAAAAUAGUUAGAAUAAAACAUGGAAUCACAUUCAAAAUGGACCAAUCAAAACAUUUCAAAAUGCCAACGUGGAUAGCCAACUCAGAUGGCCUGAAACAAAUCCAUUCAUCUUCUUCGGUAAUCCCUCAUCGGAGUUUCAUCAUUUGACAAAGUAAGAACAUGAGACUACCACCAAUGUGAUCGUCUCCUCAUCACGAAUUCAACCUAAUGCUCAAAAUUAAUUUAUCUAAAUUGAGUAUGGAGAAUUUCAGAGAAGUUUUAGAAACAAGCAAGUCACAAAAAGUAAAAUUAAAUGAUGAACAUUAUCACUCAACACCAGAUAAGUUAGGGGAAAGCAUAAGAGGGUGAAGGACUACAUUGUGGUAACUCGUUUGAGUUCAAAUGAUGCUCAAAACUACCUUGUCCAAAUGUAGAUCGGAGGUUGAAGAAGCUUGAUCUGGUCAGGGCACUUCAGAAGGUCUUACAGAUUGAGAAUUAUUGCAAAAUCUUCAUAGGAGACUGAAAGUUUUAAUUGAAUCAAGAAAUUGAACUGAAACAAGCUAGAAAUCAAACACGAUAGCUCAAUUUUCUAGAAAUGUUUAAUAGUGGAGCAGGGGUUUUUUAGCUCUCCAAAGCUUGGGAAUAAGGCAAAUAUAUUGCUCUAUUUAUAGGGAAGUGAUUGGUGAUCUCAUACGUGCCAAAUGAUGCUUAAUUCGUGCAAAACAAAUUUGCUCAUGAUGUGAGAAAAGUGUGACUUGUAAAACCAUCAAAACUCAGCCAAAUUAUGCAUUAAAUGAUUCAUUUAACUUUUGAAGACUUGAUUAAUCAUGUUUAGGUCCAAAACGUGUGGUAAAUUGGCUUGUAAUUAAGGAUUAGUGAAGUUCAAAAUUCUGAACAUGGUGAUUUCUUCAGUUCCAAGUUACCAUGUUUAAUUCAAUGGGGCAUCUUGCCUAGGAGGCUUUUUGAUCUCAUUUUUCUUGCAAUUUUUGGACAUCAUAUCAAAGAUUACAAUGUGCCAAGAAAGGUUGCAUUUGGAUGCUUGAGCAGAAGUUUAUGGCAUGUUAAAGUUGGCACAAAAAUUUGGUUAUGCAACUUGGAAAAUUCUAAGUCCCAGAUGGCUAAAAAUGACCCAUAAUGUCUCAAAGAAUUCCAUGGUCUUCCAAGCAUAAUUUGACUUUGAUCCUUGAAGAAAACUUGUAGAGGGCAUCACAAAUGAUAUUAUUCAAAAAGAAUCAGCGUCAAAUGUUGGAAAUUGAAGAAGUUAUAAUCCUUGAAAGUUGAGAAAAAGUCACUUGAAAAUAGGUCAAAUUUCACUAGGUCCACAAAUGACCUAUAAUGUCUUCAAACUUUUGAUGAUCCUCCAUGCAUAAUUGGAUCUUGUAAUGUAAAGAGAAGUUAUAGAGGAUAUUUAGAAGAGUCAUAUGCAAAAAGAAACAUUCAAAAAUAUUGAGGAUUGAAGGAAUUGUGAACCUUGGAACUUUGACUUCAAAUGUUGAAUUUUUGGUCAAACCUCUUGGAAUAAACUUGUGUACUUGGACUUUUAUUGCAUUUCAAGGUACAUGGAUGAUCAUAUGAACUAAAAAUAAGGUGUCCUUAAAUUUAUUUUUAUUAAAUUUCUUAAAGUUUGAGGUAACAUAUUGAAGAAGGCAUGGAAAUAAACACAUGAACCUUUGCCUUUUCUUGAGACCGAUUAUCCACUUUUGUGUAACCGAUUACAAGCGCAAUAUUUUGAUUUUUCCUGCUAUUUUACUUGGUCAAUUCAGUUCCCAAUUGUGUUGUAUCUCUUGUAUAAGUGUUUAGAAUGCACACUCAUCUAAGGUUAAUGCAAUAAUAAUCUCUCACCCUUAAUUCUCCUCUUUCACACUCUACAUCCAAAGUAUCUCCACCAUUGUUCAUCAAACUUGUUGUGUCUUGUUCCAACAUUUGACAUCAAGAGUCUGGUUCAGAUCCACAAACACCUAGUGUGCAACAUGAAUUAUGUUUCCAAUGAAAGAAUCCCUGCAAACCUACAUAUCCUUGAUGCGAAGAAUUAUGAUAAAUGGUGCAAGAAAAUGAAGAUGUUGUUUGGCUACCAAAAUGUUCUUAAAGUAAUCAAGAAUGGUGUUAGCCCUCUUGUUCAAAAUGCAACAGAGGUGCAAAAAGAAACACAUAAGAAAGAGAAGAAGAAAUACUUCAAAGUGUUAUUCUUGAUCCAUCAAUGUGUUGAUGGCGACAAUUUUAAGAAAGUUGGUGAUUGCGAAUCGUCAAAGCAAGUGUGAGAGAUCUUAGAAAAGACAUGUGGAUGGGUUGACAAGGAAAAGGUGGCGAGGUUACAAACUUACAAACACCAGUUUGAAUUGAUUCAAAUGGAGGAAAAGGAGACAAUAAACUAUUUUGCAAUGAGAAUCACCCGGUUGGUGAAUCAAGUGAAGGCAUGCAAAGAAACUGUUACAAAGCAGUAUGUUGUCGCUAAAUCUUGCAUUCUUUAACACUAAGAUUUGACAAUAUAGUUGUGGCGAUUGAGGAGUCAAAGGAUCUCACGAUGAUGAGUAAAGAGAAGCUGCAAAGUUCUCUCGAGGCUCAUGAUAAAAGGAUGGAAGAGAGGAAUAACGUUAAGGCAAAGGCGGAGAUCGCUUUGCAAGCUCGUUUCAAUGAGAAGGACAAGAGAUCGAAAGGAAAAUGGCCCAAGAAAAGAAAAGGGAAUUUUCAUAAUUUUGGUGGAAGAGAGUCCUAAAAUUCAAAUAAUUUUACUUGUCAAAGGGGUGAGAGCAUCUUCAACAAACAUGGUGGUCAAGGCAACUUUAGAGGUAGAAGGAAGAGGUUUGACAAGAGCAAGGAGUAGUGCUAUAAGUAUCAAUGGUUUGGCCAGUUUGCAAAAGAAUGCAAUUUGAACAAGAAGGAAUCUCAAGGGGAUGAAGCCAAGGUUGCAAGAUAAGAGUUUGAUAAAGAGAAUACAUUUUUGGUCAUGAUCAAAGAAGGGAAUUGUAGCAGCAAACAACUGCGGGACAACAACUACAACAACUCAACGAAUGCUGAAUAGGUUGGUUGAAUGAUACGAUUAACCAAUUGCAUGAAGAGGAAGACGCCAUGAUGAGUUUGAAAGGAGUUCAAUGCAGUGAGGAGUGGUAUUUGGACUUGGUUUGUUCAACUCAUAUAACGGGAAUAAAGGAUUGGUGUGCCAAAAUCAAUUGUGCCAUGAAGAACAAAGUAAAGUUCGCGGAUGACACCACUCUAAUAUUCAAUGGGAUCAGUGAUGUUUUAAUCAUGAGAAGGGAUAAUGGACAUUCCUUGACCAUAAAUUCUUGUACAUUUAGGGAAUCAAAUGUAACCUUCUGAGUAUUGGCCAAUUUCUUGAGAAGGGUUAUAAGAUUCACAUGGAAGACAAGGGGUUGCGGGUUAUGGAUGUAAGAUGAGUCUUGGUCCUUAAAGCGCAUAUGGAUGCCAAUAAAACCUUUAAGGUUGAGUUGAAGGUUAUAGAGCAUAAAUAUCUUGCUACUGUAACAAGUAGACAAUAUUGGAUUUGGCACUAUCGUCUUAGGUAUCUCAACUUUAGAGAUUUCAAAGACUUUCAAAAGAACAGAAUGGUAACGGGGCUGCCAUCGAUCAACAUACUAGCUGAAAUUUAUGAAGAAUGUAUGCAAGCGAAGCAACAUAUGGGAAAAUUAAGAAAGUAGAUUCUAUUGGUGGCAAUAUGUAUUUUUUCACAUUUAUCGAUGAUCAUAGUACGAAGCUAUGGACAUACCUAAUCAAGAGAAAUGACGAUGUAUUUGAUGAUUGUUUGUCAUUGCAUAUAUUUAAUCGAAGAAUCAAAGAAAAAUAAGUGAAAUUUGAGAUAAAAUGAAGAAGAAUGAGGAAAAAAUAGCUAAGUGUGAAAAUUGUGGACUUAUUGAAAAUUUGAGUGAAAAGGGGAGCAAAACCGUGCAACCACGGGAAUAAUCACGCGCACCAUCACAUAGCAUCGUGCACGCGAUGGGGUCUUUAAAGCAGCAUUACACGCGCGAUACAAGGAAUCACGCGCGUGAUAAGUACUUUUUAUGGGCUUUUUAGACACGUUCUAGUCCAUUCUAACGCCUUUAAAAGAGGAUUUUCUGCACUUUCACAAGGGUUACAAAAUUGGGAGAUCUAGGCACGAUUUUGAGAGCACAAGUGGUGAUUUUUAUAGCAUUGGAAGCUAUUGGAGGCCAUUACUUCAACGUAUUUCACAUGUUAUUUUCAUCUAUCAAUUAUGGCAUUUUUAAUUGCAUUAUGAGUAGCUAAGCUCUUUUAUAUUAGGUUGUGUUAUGAUGAACCUAUUUCUAUAUUGUUGGAAUCUAUGUUGAUUUAACCAUUCUAAGAACCGUUUGAACUAUAAUUCCAUUCAAUUGCUUUUUGUUCAUAAUUCCUUUUAUGUGAGAUACUCUUUUAAUCUGAUUUUGGGCACAUAGGGAAUAUUGACUAUUAGUCUAUGUGUUGGACCUAGGGAAAUUGUUGUACUUACGCUGGUUGAAUAGGAAUAGGAGACCCUGAGUAGUGGCAUAGAGAAUUAAUGUUUUAUACAUCACCUAACCUUGCUUACGCUGGCAGACUAGGGAUAGAAAGCUCUGAGUAGUGGUUAGUGAGUUAUUUCGCGAGGGAUCAGCUAUAACGGUUUUGUUAAUUCGAUGUGGUGUUAUAGUGAUAAGACCAUUCGUAAAAGAUAUAAAACAUCAACAAUAGAGGAAUAGGGGAUUCUAGAACACAAUAUGCUCGUUUUCGUGAUAUUGUUUAAUUGUUUAUUUACUUUUCGCACUGAAACUCGAAAACCCCCCUUUUUACUAGUUUUCUAUAAAUUGCACACAUUUUGUCUUGCCUGAAGGAAAUUCAUGUGGAUUCGAUCUUUUUAUUACUUCGACAAUAUCAAUACACUUAUCGAGAAAUCAUUAAGUUUUUGGCGUCGUUGCCAGGGACUGUUGAUUUUUCAACAAGGCGAUGUUUGUGCAAUUUUUAUUUUUAUUUUUUUAGUCUUUUAGUUUUUUUUUUCUUUUUCUUGUUUAUCAUAGUGCUAUUGAGGUAUUUUUUGUUUGUGUAUGCACAAUUUAGGAUCAACAUUAAUACCAUUGGUUCUAGAAAUUGAAAGAACUACACGUGCUCUCAGAAAAGCAGUUAGAGAAGCAGCUCUGAAAGGAGGAAUACUAGAAGAAGAGCAACUAUCAAAUUCUUCUGACUCUGAAGAAGAAGCUGUAAUGGAAGCUGCACAACCCCUAACUAUGGGGCAUUAUUAUAAAUUAACCGAUGAAGGACACUUAUCAAGAGGGUUUGUGCUGGUAGACCCUGCUAACUUUGAUAUUAAAAAUUAUGUGCUUUAAGGUUUGAGAGAAAAUUCGUUUGAUGGGAACACGAUUAGAGACCCAUGGGUGCAUCUUACACACUUUUAUGAAAUAACUUAAAUGUGCAAACCAACUGAUGCCACUGAAGAGCAGGUUAAAUUGAGGUUGUUUGGGUUCUCACUAAUUGGAAGGGAGAAAGAUUGGUUACUUUGCCUUCCGAAUAAAACGAUACAUACUUGGAAGGAAUUAAAGGAUAAAUUCCUCGAAAUAUUUUUCAUUACUACUCAGUUUACCGAGCGCUAAGCAGAAAUUGUGAAUUUUGUGCAGCAGGAAACUGAGUCACUUUAUGACUCUUGAGAAAGAUUCAAAUUUUUGUUACGCAGAUGCCUGAAUCACAACAUGAAUAAUAUGGUGCAGAUGUAAAACUUCAUUAAAGGUCUCAAGAGUCAAACUCACAUGUUAUUGGAUGCUUCUACGAGAGGUACUAUCUGAAAAAUGAAUGAACCACGGGUAAAAGAUCUCAUUAAGAAGAUGUGUAUGAAGGAGUACCGAUCCAAGAAUGAAAGGUCGGUCAAGAUGGGAAUUGUGGGCACGCCUAAAGGUAUGUUACCUAUUGAUACCCACACUGCUCUUUUAGCUCAGAUUGAAUUAUUAAAUAAAAAUCUAGUUGGAAGCAGCUUAGUUAAAGCUAAUGUAGGCUAGGUACAAGCACUUGGGUGCGAUUUAUGUAGAAGAGAACAUGCGAAUGAAAGGUGUUCAUUGGAAGAGACAAGUGAGGAGGUCCAAUUUGCUAAUUUUUUAAAAAAUAACUUGUAUUCAAACACAUACAAUCUGGGUUGAAAAGACCAUCCAAAAUUCCGUUGGAAUAAUAAUCAAAAUUCAAAUGCUAACUAAGGGAUGCAACAAAGUCAACAAGCUCUGUUUCAAAGGAAUCCCAUCACAGUUGGUAGAGACCUCACAAAAUUUCAUUAAGGUCACUCAAAGUAGAUUUGAUAGGGUAAAGAAGACCCAUGAAUAAAUGAGUAGAAACUAGGAUGCGUCUAUCAAAAUUUUGGAGAUGAAGAUUGGUUAAUUAUCUAGAAAAGUAGCUACUUUGUCAAGCUCAAGUGGAGGAUUCACCAGUAACACCGUUGAUAACCAUAAGAAUGAUAACCCUAAAUAUAGGUUUAAGGGCAAUUACUGAAAAGGAUAAGGAUGAGAUAGUUAAACAAUGUGUGGUUAAGGCAUAUGAGGGUACCUGUAGCACCUCAAAUUUGCACCCCCCAUUCAUGCAUUCAUUUCAUUUUUUAGGUCAUUUAUCAUUCCAUAUUGCAUUGCAUUUUGGCAGUCAGCAUUGGCAUCAAGAGAUUCAUCAGUACAAAAGAGAAAGUUUUUUCUUGAGAUGAAGGCCAAAUGAUUAUACUAAAGAGCUUAUAUGAGCCCAGGUUCAUUUUGAAGCAAAGUUACCAAGUGGUAGAGGCCCAAACUCAUCAGUGCACUUCCAGGUCAUCUGAGGCCCAUACAAGUCAACUAUGCAGUCAACUAAGGGCUUUGAGUUGGGGAAAUGGUUUGAGACACUUCAUUCAUGUCCAAAAGAGGCUUUUUCAUCAUGUCAAACAUCUACCUUGAAGAUUUUGAAGUCAAAUCAAAAGUUUCCAAAAAUGGAAAGUGACCUGUAAUUCAAAGUUUCCAAAAAUGGCAAGUUUUUAGACCACAUUCAACUUGACUUUCCAACAUCAAAUAAGCUUCAAAUGAAUUUUUGGUCAACAUGAAAGUUGAAGAUAUUUCUCUCCUAUUUCCAAAAAGUCCAAGAGUAUGAGUAUCUGAUGAAUGGUUGAGAAGUUAUGAACAAAUGAUUGCAAAGUAUGCAUGGAACUUCAAAGUGCCAUAACUUUUGAUCCAAAACUCCAAAUUGAGCCACUCUUUUUGCAAAAUGCUUGUAUUGACCAAUAUUUUCCAAAUCAAACAUUGCAUUGCAUGAAAUUAACUCACAUGAUCAUUUGUCCAUGCAUGUAUAUUUUGGAGGGAAAAUGGAUAAUUCAAAUUCUAUUGAUCAUACAUGAAAAAUUCCUAUGCCAUUGUGAUCUUUGGAUGAUUUUAAGUGACUUUUAACCAUGCAUGUGCACUGUUCACGUGUAAAAUCUCCAUGCACCACACAUUUACCAUUUUUGCAUUACACCUCAUUUCUCAUUAAGUUUCCAUUAGCCAAGCCUAAUUGUGAUUAGCAUGAUAAUUAACAUGUGAUAUAAAUAGAUAAUCCUAACUGAAUUGGAUGAGAUUACACAUUCUAGAUCUAGAAAUUGGAUUUCCCUCCAAAAAUUCUCUCAAUUCAAACAUCAAAUUUCUACACAUAACUCAUGAAUUUUCUUGCAUAAUUGUGUUCAUCUUGCAUCAUUGAGUAAGAAUCAAGGCCUGGACUGAAGGAUUUGGUGCAGAGUCGAGCUCCACGAAUGCAUGAAAAUGAAGAAGGUUUUCUGAAUUUGAGCUUCAUUUAGGUAGUUUCAAUUGCUAUUCCUUCCAUAAAGCUUCACCUCAAGGUUGAUAGAGGAGACCUGGAGCUGGAGGAGGCUUGAAUCCACGAAAUCAUCGCACUGUUCUUCAAGAAGGUUAAAAUUUGAAUCUCAUUAUUUGCCAUUUUAUGCACAUGAUCUUGUAGGUCGUGCUCCACUGAUGAUUCUGAUAUGAAUAUUAUUGAUUUUGGCUGGAUAUUGAGUGAGUUAUGAUGAAUUAAAGUUUGUAUGCUAAAUUUGUUCUUGCUCGAUCCAUGAGAUAUGUGAUGAUUUAGAGUGAAUUAGGCAUGGAUUUGGAAUGUACGUUAUGCAAGCUUUCGAUCCAUAUCAUUUUUGCAUGAUUCUAGAAUUUUUUUGAUGCACCUUCAUCGGCGUACCACCGGAGAAGAUGACCGAAAGUACUAUUCCGGUCAUCUGGUUCAUGAGCUAGGGUUUUAAUGUGCGCACCUGUAACCAUGCAAGCCCCAGUUCGAUCCUUGGCAACUGUUAUUUUAAAAUCCAUUUAUUUUCUCCCUAUGAUCCAAACGUUGCGUUUUGCUCUAGCGCCCUUGUGAACAAGCCUUGCCUCUGUUCGAUUCUUGGCCUGGCAAUUAUCCCAAUUGAUUUUAUUGAGCGCGCCUAUGACCCUAUAGUCCUCAGUUCGAUUCAGGCGCUUUGCAUUUUUUCUUUUAUUUUCAAUUGAAGCGCUGCCUUGGACCUUUGUGUCCUGAGUUCAAUCCCUGACCAAGUAUUUUUCAUCUUUUAAUUCACAUUUCAUUUUUUCACAUGAUUGUUGUGAUGUCUAUUAUUUUUUGAUGUGAUUUUCCUAAUUUUUGUAUUUCUGGAAUUUUAAAUGUGUUUGUGUGAUUGAACAUGAUGCAAAUAUGACAUGUUAUGCUAAAUGUUUUAUGAAAUGCUCAUAUUUUAUCCAAUUGCCUUGAAAUUUGACAUGCUUGAUCUAUACAUGUGACAUGAUUUUUGAGCUUUUGUUUGGCAUUUUUAGCACAUUCCAUCACUGUUUGGGACACAUGAACAUAUGAUGUAGCAUUUGGUGUCACAUUCUUGACCUUGCUUGUGUUCAUUUUCAUUUGCAUGUCAUUUGAUAUCUUCUGGACCUAAUUCUUUGCAUGAUGCUUGUGUUUAAAAUUUUGAUCUCACAUAAAAAAUUUCAUGAUCAUUGGAUGCAUUUCUGUUUUAAUGUGGAUUUUCUACCUUUUUCUUGCCUUGUGUAGAUGAUGAAUAAGCACCACUGUUGAUUGACUGUUUGGUUUGUCUGAAUGUGAUAUUGACUGUUUGACUUUUGUACAGGUACAUUAGUCGCUUUUAGCUCUCGCUUGAGCUUUGCUUUGGUUGUGGUUGAUAUACCACCUAGGUAAUCACUCUAACUCCAUGUAGUCUGGAAGCCCUGUCGUUUCUUUUGGCAUGCAUUUGGUUGAAGUCCUCCUUAAGAGGCAAUGACUGUGUUUAUUUAUAUUUAUGCCAAAGACCUCCUUGUCGAGGCAUGUUACUUGUUAAGUCCUCCUAAGUGAAGAGGCAAUUGACAGAUGGAAAGGAUUAGCAAUCAAUCCCCUGUUAUUCGUUGAAUCGUUCAUUAUGCUCGCACUAUAUGCUGAUGCUCUUGAACCUAACCCAAGAUCCUUGUAUAUAGAGUCAGUCAAGUGGAAUAGGGUCCCUCUUUCUGGAUCCCCAGGUUUUCAUUGAUUUGAGCUCACCCAGGCCAGGGUUAAGAGCAUGAGGUCUUAUCCUCAUUACCUUUCAUCAGCUUCACCCUAACUCUCAAUGUUAGUGGUUAAGAGCUUCAGCACACCCCUACAGUUUUGGCUUGUUUGUCGAGGUUGAUAUGACCCCUUGACUAAAGCCUUACCCUCAGAUGUUUGAGCCCCUUGUUGGCGUGUUUACUUCAUGUAUAUGUUUUUGUGUGGUGUGAUUGUAUCCCCAUAGGAUUGCUAGACUUCGUAUAGUCUCUCGUUUGCAUGUCAAUUAAGGUAGCAUGGUUCCUUCGUCUAGGACUUCCUUUCUUGCGUGAGCAUUCCUAAAACACAAACAAACUUUAUCUUCUCUUAAGGACACGUUGACUCCUUCUACUACAGGUGAGUAAGUCUCCAAAGGUCGAGCAUCCAUCUAGGACUUCCUUUCUUGCGUGAGCAUUCCUAAAACACAAACAAACUUUAUCUUCUCUUAAGGACACGUUGACUCCUUCUACUACAGGUGAGUAAGUCUCCAAAGGUCGAGCAUCCGGUAGAUUGCAUAGUAACGUUGUUCACCUAAAAAACACAACAAACAGAAAUAGUUUAGCCGAACUACGACAACUCUGAUUCUCAUGUUCAGAUGAGAUACGUAGGCAUGAGAUGCGAUGUCUUGUCGAGUUUGACUGACGACUAACAUUAAUCCUUGCUAGUUUUCAUCCUCGUUGCGAUUCUUUUCUCUCGCCCUCGUUGCGAUUGAGACCUUCCUUUUCUCUUGCCCUAGUUGCAAUCGAGACCCUUCUUCUUUUCGUGUGUGUUUGUUAGGAGUCGGAUAUAAGUCCAUCUAUUGGCAUUCUGUUUCCUGUUUGCGUGUGUGUUUGUUAGGAGUUGGAUGUAAGUCCAUUUAUUGGCAUUCUGUUUCCUUGUGUGUUUGUUCGGAGUCGGAUGUAAGUCCAUCUAUUGGCACUCUGUUUCCUGUUUGUAUUUCCUUGUUAGGAGUUGGAUGUAAGUCCAUUUAUUGGCAUUCCGUUUCCUUUGAGUGUUCUUUUGACGUCUCAGCGUCUCUUUUCAGUGUUUUGUUUCGGCGUGCGUUAGCCGAGCUACGAGUGCUCUGAUUCUUCCUCUGGUUAGAGAAGAUACGUAUGCAUAGGAUGCGAUGUCCUAGCGAGCACGUCUCCCAUUUCCCCGAACUACGUCGACUCUGAUGUUUGUUUCUGACAAACUACGUAGGCCCAGGAUGCGACAUCCUGCCGAGUCUGCUUUCUCCGUCUCCUCUUCCGCCUGUUUAUUAUUCCAUUGCGUGCAGUCUUUGAGCAGUUUUAUUAGCAACCUUAUUCUUUCCUUCUGAGCGUGGAUCCCAUCGAGUACGACGGACGUGAGGGGUGCUAAUACCUUCCCCUUGCGUAACCGACUCCCGUACCUAGCAAUCUUUGUUCGUAAGACCAUUCCUUUCCCUUUUUCAGGUUUACUUCGAGGGUUUCCUUUCCCUCCUUUGGGAUAAAUAACGCACGGUGGCGGCUCUGUGUCUUUUCCCGCCGGUUGUUUUUCGCGAUGCGACAGUACCAAUCAAGGUGACCAAGAGGAAAGAGGAGUCACCAUUGAUCAACUUAUAGACAAAAAUUCUCCUUGGAGGAGAACAAAGAGGCAUAUCUUGACUGAACCAAAUCCUCCUUUACCAGAUUACGUAAAACCACCGUAGCCGAUAAUUAAAAAGAAAUUGGUUCAAGAUGAUGAAGCGGGAAUGUUUGCAAAGUUCAAGGAAGUUCUAGCUACUCUCCAGGAAAGUAUUUCAUUCCAUGAAAUUUUAGAACUAAUGCCUAAGUUUGUUAAAUUUAUGAAGGCGUUUCUAAAUGGGACGGAAGAGAAAUGAAUCAAGGAACAUGUAAACAUGACCGAAAAUGAUGAUAUGGUAAAACCUCAAUCCUUACAACCUAAACUAAAAGACUCAGGUAAGUUUAUUAUUUCUUGUAAUAUCAGUGGAUUCAAUAUUCUGCAUGCUCUAUGUGAUCUGGGGUUUAACAUAAAUGUCAUGCCACUGAAAACUGUCAAAGAAUUAAAAAUGGGUGAGAUCACACUGAAUAACAUGACUCUCACUCUAGUUGAAUCGUCUAUUACUCAAUCGAUUGUUACUUUACGCAACAUAUUAGUAUCUGUGGACGACUUAUUGUUUCCUAUAGAUGUUGUAGUGCAUGAUACAAAAGGAGAUUAAGGAGGAUCUGUUAUUCUUGGACGUCCAUUCUUGGCAACCGAGAAAGCAAAGAUUGAUGUGGACACUGGUCAACUUAUCUUGAAGUCAAAUAAAAGGAAUGUGGUUUUCAAGGUAUUUGACUGGGCAUCUUAUGUGGAUAAUUUGGAUACUUUAUACCAUCCGGAGGAAAAAGGUAGAAAAGUAGACAAAGGAACAAUGAGAAAGGAAGUGACAGGCGUGAGGGUAUCCCUUGCACCUGACGUACCUUAGACAUGGAUUGUCAAGCUAGUUACGUAAAAAAAGCGUCUGAUGGGAGGCAACCCAUCCGUAAGAAAUUAUUUUUAUGUCAUAGUGAAUUUUUAUUUUUCUAACCUUGUUAAUUUUUGUGUUAUGUUGUUCGAAGAGAAAAUAGGUAAAAGAAGAAAAGAAAGAAAAAGAAAAAGGGAAGAAAAUAGAAAAAGAAAAGAGAUAGGAAAGUUUCAGCCCCUGGAAUCAUCACGCAUGAUAAUAUAAACUAGUUAUUUACAAUAAAUUUUUUUGAUAUUUAUUUAAAGAAGCACAAUUAAUAUAAAGACAAUAACACACCAAUCACACAUAAUAAUUUUAGAAUAAUUAUACUCUAAGAUUUUGAGAGUCGUGAUAUCUCCUCUUCUUAAAUGUUUAAGAAUUGGAUCUCUCUCACUAAUCUCUAUCCCCUUAUUUAUUUUAAGAAUAAACAUAUUGAAUUAAUAAAACAUAAUUGCACAUUUCUUAUAGCGAUUAUACAAACAACUAUCAAAGUUGAAAAAACUAAAGAGAGGUCAACUCAAUCUUUAUCAAAUUAAAUUAAAGUUUAUUUUAAAACACAAACAACUAGUUCAUUAAAAAGAUAACUUGUUUAGUACACAAAUGAGAUCUUACUUAAUACAUAGAAAUAAGAUCUUACAAAACAUAGAUAUUAAAAACAUAGGAACAACAUGAAAAGUUUUCAAAAUGACAUAGACAUUGAUUAACAAAGACAUGAAUUAGUUUCGGGUAUUUUUUAACCAUCCAUCAAGGUAAACUUGUUUGGAGUCAGGGGUGAAUUUUUCUUUCUCGGCUCGGAUAUCUUUCAACCAUCCAUCAAGGUAAACCUGAUUGUUGUCUGAGGUGGAUUUUGUUGUCUCGGCUCGGAUAUCUUUCAACCAUCCAUCAAGGUAAACUUGGUUGGAGUCAGAGGGCAAUUUUAUUUUUUCAGCUCGAGUGUCUUUCAACCAACCAUCAAGAUAAACUUGUUUGGAAUCAGAGGUGGAUUUUGUUUUCUCUGCUCGGGUAUCUUUCAACCAUCCAUCAAGGUAUACUUGGUUGGAGUCAGGGGUGGAUUUUGUUCUCUCAUUUCGAGUAUCUUUCAACCAUCCAUCAAGGUAAACUUGGUUGGAGUCAGACAUGGUUUCUGUUUGCUUAGCUCGAGUAUUUUUUAACCAUCCAUCAAGGUAAACUUGGUUGGAGUCAGGGGUAGAUUUUUCUUUCUCAGCUCGGGUAUCUUUUAACCAUCCAUCAAGGUAAACUUGUUUGGAGUCAGAGGUGGGUUUUGUUUUCUCUGCUCGGGUAUCUUUCAACCAUCCAUCAAGGUAAACUUGAUUGGAGUUAGGCAUGGACUUUUCUUUCUCGGCUCUGGUAUCUUUCAACCAUCCAUCAAGGUAAACUUGGUUGGAUUCAGAGGUGGAUUUUGCUUUCUUUGCUCUGGUAUCUUUCAACCAUCCAUCAAGGUAAACUUGGUUGGAGUUAGGUAUUGACUUUUCUUUCUCAGCUCUGAUAUCUUUCAACCAUCCAUCAAGAUAAACUUGGUUGGUGUCACCUGUAGAUUUUGCUUUCUCAUCUCGAGUAUCUUUCAACCAUCCAUCAAGAUAAACUUGGUUGGAUUCAGAGGUGUCUUUUGCUUUCUUUGCUCUGGUAUCUUUCAACCAUCCAUCAAGAUAAACUUGAUCAGAGUCUUGGGAGGAUUUGGUUUUCUCUGCUCGUGUAUCUUUCAACCAUCCAUCAAGAUAAACUUGGUUAGAAUUAGCAAUUUGUUUUUGACUCUUCAAUGGAUUUUUGAGCCAACCAUCAAGGUAAGGUUGAUCAGCUUGUAUUUCUUCUACAUUCUCUUGCUGAAGUUUGAUAUAUCGGGCAAAGCUUCCUUGUCCAUUCUACGAUACAAUUGAAUAAAUGGAUAUUAGUGAGUUAUUUUUGGAUGGUAUAUAUGACUAUAAAAACAAAAUUAUGUGUUUUAUG